Molecule: long non-coding RNA, 74109 nt
Filed under: Capsicum annuum
Lineage: Eukaryota; Viridiplantae; Streptophyta; Magnoliopsida; Solanales; Solanaceae
Description: long non-coding RNA (CANN_LNC002930)
Source: RNAcentral
GAAAAGAUAGAAGUGCCCCCUGUCAGCCCUAUUUUGAACUGGUUGAAGCAGCACGCAACGUAUGGUGGCAUUAAAUGACUUUGGGAUUAAAAAAUUCAUUUUUAGAGUCACCACCUAACUUCUUAGAAAAAUUAGAAAAAAACCAUUUUUAUUGUAAAACUCUGUUUUAGUCUAUCGAAAACAUUUUGAGGUUCCAAGUAAGGGUUUUGGUUACUCGAAGGGAAGGUAUUAGGCACCCCUCAGAGCCUAUCCGAAGAUAGUCCUUACGCUUAGUUUAGGAAAAUAUUAGAAAAACUUUAUUUGUUGUUUUCUUUAUACACUGAUAAGAAACUCAUAUUAAGAAAGGAAAAAAAAAUUUGAAGUAUAAAAGAUACGCUACCAUGAUAUACAAAGAUAUAGUUUAUUAUAAAGUUGAUAUGAAAUGGGAGAGUAGAAAUCUCAUAUGCGCAUUUUAUAGGAUUCAAUGUCUUAUAAUUUUGUGAAAAAGUUUAGUAACAGAUAAGGAUAGAUAUAUCGGUGAAAUAACUUUAAUAUCAUGGCGAGAAAUUAUUUUCUUAUAAACAUAAUUAUGCAUGCUUGAAAUAAUUUGUGUUCGGGUGCGAAUAUACAUGGGUGUAUUUAUUGCGAAAUGAAAAUAUAUGAGGCAUCAAGGCACACUAAUUCUUGAUUAAGUAUAUCAACAUAUAAUGACAUUUAUUUAUUUGUUUGCGAAUUUUAAAAUAGUGGUCAAAUAAAUUUAAUAGCGAAGUAUGGAUAUAUGGUUGAAGUAAGGUGCAACCAAUAGUAAAAAUGAUGAAGAUACCAAGUACCUUGUAUAUUGUGGCGUAUAUAAAUAUACCUCACGGUUUGGUCUUUUAAAAGCUAGAAAAGGGAAAAGCUCAAGAAAAAUGUUAAAAUGUUAGGAUUACUAACCUGUUGAAAUAAAGUAGCGAAUAAAUUUUUUACCUAAAUCCGAAUUCAACAACUUGCCUUCCUAUUAGUUCAAUUCUGAAAAUGAUUUGUUAUUUUAGAAAGUCGUGGAGAUUGCUAUGCUAGUUCUAUUUAAAAUAUAGACGAUGAAUUUUAUUUUUCUAAAGAAAUUAACUAAGUACGAUGAAAGAUAUUCUCAACUAAUAUCGGUCACGUGAUUUCUGCGAAAAUUCAGAUAUUAAGACUAUAUUAAGACUGUAUAGGAACACCGACAAAAAAUAGAGUAGUACGGACUUAAUAAUCAAAUGAAUCUACCCCAUGCAAUUUAAACAAGAGUUAGUAUUGUAACUCAACAUAAAGGUAAAUUAAAACAGAAAUAACAAAGAAAUAAUGAAUGCGGUUUAGAAACUUAAGCUCCUAUUCGAGGGACUCCAACACUCUGCGAUCCUAAUUACAUUGAUCUGAUGUGGAUCAAAAAUGAGUUCCGUUGCGAAACACCAACUCCCGGGUUCACAUGUAACAGAAAAAAAGAUAAAGAAUUAGAGAGCAUAAACCGCAAGGUGUAGGAUAGAAAUAAAUUGACAAGCCAUUCAUCAAAUCUUCGAAGUCGUAGUUGAGAAUUCGAAUAUCUAGUAGCAAAGACCCCAUUAAUUUUUAAUAAAUCGAAUAUACUAAUGUGGGCGGAACUUAUUUGAACAAAUUGGGGGACGUAAACAACCAUUUCACGAGGGGGAAAUAAACGUACAAAGAUUGUGUCACUGGAGAUUCUAGUCACACCAUAUCUCAGGAUUUUGGCAUAUAUUCACUAGGAAGUUGGGAUUAAUUUUGACCAGUGACCUCAUUUUAAAGGAAAGUCUAAUGAGCUGACUAAUUACAUGAUUUAAUCUUAUACAAAUGGUUCUCUAAAUUGUUUUAUUGGUAAGUAAAGGACAAUGUUUUUACUAUAAGUUACCUUUCACAGAGAUCAAUAAAAAGGGAGCAAAGACGAGAAACUCAUGAGUAGAACCAAGCUGCUCUCUAGAUCACGUGUUUCAAAGCCUAACAUUCAGCUAUUUUGAAUGGAAAUAUAGUAAUAAACUAACAAUUCUUAGGUAAUAAGGUGUGGAUAAGUACAAAAUAAACUAACACCGCUUGCAACAAGAUACUAUUACACCAAUCAUAGACACCACACAACACUACGAAUAGAAAACUACAGACAUGAAAGACUACUCCCUUUUGUUACCAACGCAAAAAUUUCGUAAAAAUCAAUUAGCAAGAAUAAAUUCCAUUGAAAACGAAAGUUACCAAGACUAAAUUUUCCCAAGAAAUCACAUCGUUUAAAGAUGAUAAUGGUAUAAAUAAACACAAACCAAAAAAAGAUUUCAUAGAAAUCAUUCAAUAAAAUAAAUACCAUUAAAAAUGAAAGUUGCCAAAAUUAAAUCUUUCCAGGAAAUCACUCUGAAUGAAAGCUCAACUAAUGAAGUAAGAAGAUAUAUUAACCAUAGUCUAAUAGCCCCAAGCUUUAGCACCAAUUUAGCUUCUUGACACUAAUAUACAGGCUACGAUAUCAUGUUAACCACGGUAAGUGCCCUGAUUCAUUCCGCUAGCUCUAUAACUGUGCAAACCUUGAAAGGAAUUGUAUUCUAUCAUUUUAGAAUGCGCUUAAUGCAUUAUGGCCCGCACAAAAUAUAACAAAUUGAAAAUUUAACUAUCUGUUAGUAACCGCAAGAACAAAGAACAAGCAUUUAAGUUUUUUUUUUUAAAUCUCGAAAGUAAGAAGUAUUACUGACACAACUGAAAACCCACAGGCUAUUCAAAAUCGAAGCACUCUUACACAACAAAUGUAAGUUGCAUCCCCAAAUUAAAUGUCUUUCUAGUUUGAUAAAAUAUCCAAAAUGGCUAUACUUGACGGACUCCGACAAUUGGAUAAGAACAAUGCGAUACCAAAUCAUUUGAAAAACACCUCUAAACAUUGCCAUAUACUAAGAUCCAGUAAAGAAGUUGUUCAAACUAUUUCAAGUAAAUACAAUACUUGGCACGCAAGAGCAUCGCUCGAGGAUUCAUCAAAGUCUGAAUAUUUCGAGAAACUCAUGCUAGAAACUAAUCUUAUUUUUGCACUACCCCCCGACCCCCCCCACCCCGAAAUACAACACUACCAACAACAUAAUAGUAGUCCAUAAUGCCCCAAAAGAACCCGAAUGCUAUUAACAAUAACGAAAAUUAAGACCAGGAACCUAGAAAUCGUGGCUUAAACAAACAAGAAACUAUAAGAAAACAUGAAACACCAAAGCAAGGUUUACAUUCGGGUCCUUACUAUGUCGUUCCAACAAUCAAACCAACACCUUAAAAGAAAGCUAAUCCACACAGGAAAUCACAUUUAAACUAUGAAUCAAAUUCAAAUAAAUCAAAUAAGUAGCGAGCCAUCAAGAUGAGAAUAGAGAAGUAUCACCUUUUUAGGGGCAGCGAAACUGGGGCUUCGACGAUGAAGAUUUUUCCGGUGACGACUCAACGAUCGAACUCCGACUUCACCAAUAUCAGAAAGAAAUAAAAUUUUUGGAAAAACUAUUUCUUCUUCAGAAAGCUGAUCCGAACCUCUUCGAAACAUGCUUUUCUCUCAAAUUUCUUGCUUUUUUUUUUCUUUCCUCUCAGAUUUUUUCACUCUUUUUCGCUUCUCAAACUCUCUAUGUUUUUAUAUCGAAUUCUCUUGUACUUUUUUAUUUUCCACCUUGCUCUUUGGCUCUAAUUUUCGAUCUUGUUCCACUCGAUUUUCACUGAUCUUCAAUCUCUUUUUUCCUUGUUUUUCCCCUGUCCUCAACCCCUCUAUUUAUAGGUGCGAAUUCGGAUUUCAAAAUCCAUAGUCGAAACCCAUAUCUCAAUGGAAACCGUAGUGGAUAGAAAAUGAUGAAAUAGGAUUCAAACCUUUGAAAGGGAUGAAUCAUCUCUCGAUUUGGGUGAAUCACAAGCCUUUAAUGCGGAUUUGAAACCUAUUUUUUGUUGUUAUACGGAUUUGGGGAUGAUCUUCUAUCUUUAAAGGGAUUCACGGGCUGGAGGGGAUGAUUUAGUGGAGAUUCUCGCAGAUUAAGAGCAGCUAUGGCUGCAACGGAUGGCUAGGCUAUGGCAUUUUCCGGGGGUUUGGAAAGAAGAGAAAAAGGAGAAAGGGAAAAGCAGUUUGAUUUUUGCUCUGCUUUUGGAUGAAUUGAUGUUGAUGGAAGAGCCGUGUAUUUUCCUAGGAAGGUGAAGACAGCUGUUUGCCUGCACUGAUCUAUUGACUGAAAUAUAGACCGUUUGAUCGUUUGAUCGGACGGUCCGUGUUUUUGAUAUAUAUAAAUAAUAAUAAUAAUAAUAAUAAUAAAAAUAAAUAAAUAAAAGUAGGUAAUAAAUCUUAUAUAAUGAAUAAAUAUAAAGAGUUAAAAAAAUAUAUAUAACAUUUGAAAUUUGAGAUCCCUCGGGCUUCAAAAUAAAUCGACAGAUCGGGUCAAAUUAUAUUUGUUAAGUCGGAAUGAUAAAGCGGUUUCCCUCUCGACUUGGGCUGAUAUGCGGGCUCUUGGCUGAAAUUCAUAAAAUAAGAAUUGGGCUUGGGCGAAAUAAAAAUGAAAUUGGGUUAUUACUAUCUCGAAUAUUCUUUUUCUACCGAAAUUAAAUUUAUCAAUGCUUCCUGCUACCCUAAAAUUAUUUAAAACUAUUAUUAGUUUAACGUAUAUAAAUUGCAGACAUAAUUUGUAUAGACAUCCGCGACUUUCCUAUUAAUAAAAUACGUGUAUAUAUAUAUAUAUAUGUAUAUAUAUGUGUGUAUGAAAAAUAAGAAUAUAAUAAAAUACAUAAAAAUAAGAAUAUAAUGAAAUAUAUGUACAUUUUAUAAAAAUAUAUUUUGUGUGAUAAAAAUAUACCUAUAAAGUCACAAUACUGCCCCAAAAAUAAAGUUAGAAAGAAUGCGAUUGCGACCACCAAAAGAUAUAUAUUUUGUGAUUGUGAUGUCAAAUGCUUAAUUAUUAAAAUAACUUUAUAAAUAAAAAUAAAUUCCCCUCUUAUUCUUGUAGAAAUAGAAACAAAAAUACCAAAUCAUAUUAUUAUUUAAUUUUGAAAAUUAUUUAGGGCCAAGAAGCAUCGAAAAAAUAAUUAAAGAAAAAAGGGCGAGUCAAAAUUGGGUGUCAACACCCCCAAGGUAAGGCUUCUAGAAUGAAGUCAAACCUCAUAGAUAUAAUAAAAGUGAAAAGAAUAAAAUCAACACAUGCAACCAUAACUCCCAUAACCUGGUGUCAACAGUAUAAGAACUACUUAUAUAAUCUCGGAGUCAAACAUAUCAGAAAAAUAACCACAAAUAAAAAUAUCUAUCUCCAAACACUAAUAAAGAUAUAACUAAUAUAGAAAGAUAGAGGUGAACUCCAGACAUAUGAAUAUCCAACCGCUACCUUGAGAAAUCUGAAGGUACCCAAAAUCAAUCAGUUUGAGGCACACCCAAAUCAAAAACUGCACCAAAGGGGUAAAGUAGGGGUGAGUACGAUCUACUUGUACUAAGUAGUAUUAUAGGCCGACUGAGCAAAGUAGAAAAUAAAGCAUACAAAAUACUCACUAAGGGCACGUCACCUACAAUAAGAAAAUAUCCCACAAUGGUUGCCCACACAGCUUGCACUAAUAGUUCUAAUAUAUCACCUAUAUUACAAAAUCACACCAAGAUAGAGAACAAGUAUGCAUUAUGUCAUAUAUAAGUAGAACAAGGGAGAACAUGUAGAUACAAGAUCAUCAAAUAUAAGUAAAGGAAGGUAAGACAAAUACAUAGAUGACAAGUCAAUAUGAUAAUACAACACAAUAUAAACACAAUAAAGUAAGUGCAAUGUAUAUGAUGAUAAUGAUGAUGAUGUACGAGGUCAUCGUACAGCCUCUGGGAUUGUCGCACAACCCCAAUAUACAUCUAUGGAGCUAAAACUUCCUAAUGUAGGACCCAUGAGGGGUGCUCCAACUUGUAUACGAUCCACAUAUCUCAUAUCUACUUUCUAGUACAUCUUUCGAAAAGAGUUUUAUAAGGUGUUAUAAUAUCUCCUCCCCGACCCUUUACUUGAGGAGGGUUUUAUAAAAGGUGUUGCCUUUGUUUCUCAAAUGUUGCCACGGUGGUUCCAAUGUUUCAUGAAUAAGUAUGAUAUGAGAAUGUAAUGAUCACAACCAAUCACAAUGAGUAUUUUCACAAUCAAUCACAGUGAUAUAUUUCCACAACAAACCACAAUUAUACAUUUUCACAACCACGUGAGCCAAUAUCCACUUAUUAUUUUUGUUUUAUCCAUGAAUUUCCACAUGUCUCAUAUAACAAGUAUGAAUAUAUAACAAUACACCAAUGGUACCACAUCAGGCAUUUCAACAACACAAUACAAUUAUUCACAUAUAUUCAAGGCUAUAAACAUAACAUAGGACCCCAUACGGUCACACAUAUCACAUAAUAUCUCAAUUUCAAAAAUUACAUUACAUACAGGUCCCCACAUGGGCAAAACAUACAGAUAGCCAUUUUUCAUGAUCAUUUCUCCCUUAAUAUACAUUUUGUACCAUCAUUUACUAUUCAGACCAGUCUGAAAGAGUUAAGCCAUAACCUACCUCGAAUGCCGAAAUGGGUUCGUUACACUUUAAACCCCAUGACCUUACUUUUUACGAAUGAUCUCAAAUAUCACUAAAAAUAUCAAAUAUAGAAUCUAGGCAUCAAAAUAAAACCAACGACACCCAUAUUGACUAUUUUUGGUUUGGGACAAAAACGGACCCCCCAAAUGAGAUUUCAAAAAAAGAAGGAAAAAAUGUAAAUUUACUUCAAAAACAUGUUUCUCAUAUUUUUAGGAACCUACAGCUGAAAAUUCUAGUCAAAUCGAGUAAAACAUGAGGUUCAAAUCGAAGAAAAAUUAUUUUUGAGCUUUUACGGGUAAAAUCUUUAAAAUUCAGGUUAAAAUCAAGAAUCAGAGUUUUGGAGGUUAAAUUGAUGAAAAACUAAUAAUUUUAUGAUUAAAAUAUUUUUAAGUGAAAAGGAGUAAAAUUGAGGUUUAAAAUCAAGUCCUAAGAUUUUUGGAGUUUUGAGAAAUUAAUCAAGAAAUUACUAAGAAAAUGAUGAAUUCUUACCUUAAAUCCAUGAUAGAAUCAAGAAAUAGAUCUUAAUCUAGCUUUUCAAGAUCCCACAAGUUUCACUUUUAAGCUCCCACACUAUCUUAGAGUUUAACUCCCAGAAGGCAAGAUGAAAAAAUAGACAAAAUGGACCAAAAAAGGGUAAAAAGCUGAUUUUUAUAGCAGAUUUGCACCAGAUUUUUCCUUUUAAAGUUUCACCUGGACUUCGACGGGGUGCCCGUUAUUCAUUCGGAGUCCGAUAUAUGCAAGUGAACUAUGAAAUCACACUAAAUUUUAUGUUUCGGGCGUCUUGGCGAAGUUGGAUUUUCUAAAAAAUAUCAUUUUCUCAAAGUUGACCACCAAAACUUGAAAUCACAACUUUCCAAACCGAGGGUCGAAAUGAGAUUUAAAAGCCAUAAAAUCACACCAAAAUAUUAUCAUCCUAAAAUCGACAUUUUGAAUCCGCUGAAAAAGUCAAAUUUUCUGUCCGAGGUCAUCUCAAUCAAAUAUGGGUCCUACACUCAUAUUUUUAAUUUUUCAACUUUUCGACUAAUAGAUCGAAAUGAGCUCGGGUGUAUCAGGACCCGAACCAAAGGUCUACCUAACCUAAAAUUGAUAUUUCAGAGCUACUGGCAUAUUCUGUUCAGCCAUCCAUCGCACGGAUCAAAAAAUAUCCAUAUAAGUUCAAAGUAAGGCUCUCAAAGCCUAUAAAAACCACAAUAUCACAUAAAUAGUACCAAAAUGCAUCGGGGACAAUGUUAAUCACCCACACCCCAGAAAUACCAUAAUGCAACUACGAGGAGGGGGUAAAAUAGUCAAAUUACACAAAAACACAUAAUUUACAUAUUUCAUCAAAAAAAGUUGGUUGUUACAUCAUCCACCACUAAAAGUCUAGUUUGUCUUUGAACUAAGGCAAAGAAAUACUUGAAUUAACGAAGAGCUGGGGAUAAGAACUAUGCAUAUCAGACUCGACCUCCAAUGUAGCCUCAUCUAUAGGUUGAUGUCGCCACUGGACCUUAACCACAUCAGUCUAGAGCGCAACUAUCUAACAUCCCUAGCCUAUAUGGAGAGCGAUUUCUCAACAAAAGACAAUCACUCAUCUAACUAAACUAACUCCCAACGAAUAACAUGAGACUCAUUUAGAAUGUAACGGCUAAGUAUAGAAACAUGAAAAACUAGAUGAACAGCUGAUAGAUCAGGUGGUUACGCCAACUCAUAAGCCACAUCACCAACAGUCCAAUGAAUCUCUAAUGGACCAAUAUACCUGGGGCUAAGAUUGCCCCUCUUCCCAAUCCUCAUCACACCCUUCAUGGGUGAAACUCAAAGAAAAACACGACCACCAACACCAAAUCUCAAGGAAUGAAGUCUACGAUUAAUAUAGUACUUCUGUCUACUCUGAGCCGCUCUAAGUCUAUCCUGAAUGACCCAGACUCUAUCCAAAGACUCAUUAAGCAAGUUCGUAACUCAAGGUCUCACCUCUGAAAUGUCAAAACAACCCACUAGGGAGCGACAAUACCUACCAUACAACAUAUCAAAAGGAUCCAUAUCGAUACUGGAAUGGUAGCUGUUGUUAUAUUCAAACUCAGCUAAAGCCAAAUACUGCUCCCACUGGCCACCAGAAUUAUAAAGCAUGCGCGGAGUAUAUCCUCCAAAACUUGGAUAGUCCUCUCUAACUAGCCAUCAGUCAAGGGUUAAACAUUACGAUAAGAUCAACUUGAGUACCCAAAUUAUCCUGAAAAGUCUUCCAAAAGUUAGAUGUGAACACAAAACCUUAAUUUGAAAUAAUAAACACCAGCACACCAUACAGACGCACAAUCUCAUGAAUGUAUAUAUGGUCCAACCUUUCAGCACUGAAGAAAACCUGACAGGAAUGAAAUGAGUUAACUUAGUCAAUCGAUCCACGAUAACCCACACACUGUCAAAACCAUGAGAAGUAUGAGGCAAUCCAGUACCGAAAUCUAUAGUGAUCUACUCUUACUUUCACUUGGAAAUAGGUAAUAUCUGAAGCAAACCAUCGGGUUUCAUAUGCUUGGCCUUCACAUACUGAAAACAUAGAUAACAAGCCAUAAAAUUUGAUAUAUCUCGCCUAAUACUACCCUACCAGUUGUGUUGUCUCAAAUCAUGAUAUAUCUUAGUCACACCUGGAUGGAUUAAAUAUCUGGAAUAAUGGGUUUCCUCCAAGAUAAAGCUAAUACAGUCACCCAAUCUGGGCACACAAACUCGACCUCCAAUCUACAAAACUCCAUCUGAAUCAAGUGAGGCUUUCUUAGCCUCCCCACUCAACACCUUAUCUCGAAUUAGCCUAAAUCUAACAUCAUCAAAAUAAUGAGCUCAAAUCUACUCCAUAAAAAAUGAUCUAGACUUCACAAAUUCCAAAACACGCCUAGGUUUCAAAAUAUAAAGACUAACCAUCUGGUUAGCUAAAGACUAAACCUCUAAGGUUAAAGGCCUCUCUUGGGUCAAAAGAUGCGCUAAGCUAACCAUGAUAGUAGACUUUUGGAUCAAGGAAUCCGCAGUCACAUUGGCCUUGCCCAAAUGGUAGAAAAUGGUCAAGUCAUAAUCCUUAAUCAACUCAAGUCAACGGCACUGCCUCAUAUUAAAUCUUGCUGGGUGAAUAAGUAUUGAAGGCUAUUAUGAUCUGAGAAGAUCUCACAACUGACUCCAUAUAAGUAGUGUCUCCACAACUUCAAGAAAAACACCAGAUCAUAGGUAGGAUAACUCCUUUCAUGAUGCUUCAAUAGACGUGAUGCAUAAGCAAUCACCUUGCCCUCCUACAUUAACACAACACCUAACCACCUAAAGUAUCAUAAAAGGUGAUAAAACACACGCCCUCCCUGGAAAAAGUCAAGAUAAGAUCUAAAGUCAACAAAUCCUUAAGCUUUUGAAGGCUCUCCUCACAAACAUUAGACUACUAAAAAAAAUCUUCUUCUUGGUCAACUUGGUCAAUAUAGCUGGAAUAGAGGAGAAACCCUCAAUAAAACACUGAUAAUAUCCCUCUAAGCCAAUAAAACUCCAAAUAUUAGUGGGCGAAUGAAACAUCCUAGGAUUUGGACCCUUGAAAAUUUCCAAAGUUUGGACCCUUUUUCACUUGGUACGACUCAAGGGAGUCACUCGUGGCCUUGGUUACGAGUCGUAGGGUACCUAGGUGGUCCAAUCAUACCUUAGGUCAUAAGGAUGGCUUAGCUACUGCCUAAGUUAUGAAUCAUAUGGAUAAGAUUCAUAUGGGAGCUUACGAGUGGUAUAGGACAAGUCGUAUAGUGCAUGUUUGAGUUGUCUAGUGUAAUUUGUCCAUCAUACAGUUGGUAGAUAUGAUUGAGGUUACCACUCAUACCCUUAAAUAUGAGUUAGAGAGGGUAAUUAAUAUAGAAACCAGUAGGUAAGGUAUUGGGAAGGUUGGGUACGAGUUGGGAUACCACUUGUACCCUUCGAUACGAGUGGUAAGGGGGAAGUCGUAACCCUAGACGUGAAUUAUUUUAAUUUAUAAGCCAAGGGUAGUUUGGAUAUUUCCUACUCCUAAACCCCCUUUUCCUCACGUUAUAUAACCUUAUAUGGCCUUCCAUAACACAUAUAAAAGGAUCAUAACACUUUAAGUAUCCACUAAAAUACUCUCUUGGAAGAUUGGAGGCUAGGUUUUCUCAUGUGUUCUUCAAAGGGGAUCAAGAGUCACGUUUCUCUUCAGAAUCUUCUUUUAUAAGGCAUGUACUCCUUACCUCAUUGUUAUUUCAAUAUAAAGGCAUGUGUAUUUUAUUUUAAAUAUUGGUUUAUGAGUCAUGAAUGGUGGAUUUUGAAAUAUUAUUGACAGUCUUUAUGCAUAUGAUUUGGUAUUGGUUUACACUAUAUUCUUACAUAUUUUUGAUAAUGGUUUGCAUAUAUGGUUGGUUGUUGGUUAUGGUUUACCUAAAGGGGUAUUGAUUAACCCUAAUUAUGGUGAUUUACAUGUUGGUUUUGGUAUUGGUAAAGUUUUGCCCUCAACAUGUUCGAUAAAAUACCUCAAAGAAUGUUUUUACUCUAUUGUUGACGUUUUAUUGGAACUCUUGCAUUAUUUGGUUUGACAAUGGAACCUUAAUGAGAUUUGGAUUAUUUAUACAUUUUUAAAAUAGUUUAAAUGAUAUAAAUGAUUAAAAUGUUUGGCAUGGUCUUAAAUGGUUUGGAAUGGUUUAAACAUUAAGGUUUUGGUGGUCAUGGUUGGUCUAUUUUGAAAACCUUGAGGGAUACAUGGAAAUACCUUAAGUGAAUGCAUUAAUGGAAUUGGUUUAAAUGGUUUACAAAGGUUAAAGGCUAAUUGGUAAUGCUUGUGUAGGACAUGGUUGUCUCCAAAAAGGUUAAUAUGGUAAACAGAAAGGGCACUUGAGAGUCCCUUUAACCUAAAUAGUUUGGCUAUGGAUAAAUCUUGCAAGUAUGGUUGGUAUGAUGAUACCACUAAUAAUUGGCCUUGGUAAUAAAUGGUAAUUGGAUUGUUUGGACAUGAUUUUGAAUCUGGGAAUUAAUGGCGAGAUGUGUAACUAAGUCAUGAAAGGUGAAGUUUUGGGGGGACCGAAACUGGAAACUCAUAUUUGCUGAUAUGAGGGGUCUUCAAUGACCACAUACGAGUGUCAUAUUUUAUAUUGGAGGGAUGUACUAUUCAUCCCAUGGGAUAUUUCCUGGUCGUGCAGCUACACGCACUGGGACCCUUUUAGCAGGGGAAGCUGAACCCAUAAGGCUCAUGGGUGUGGUUAAACGGCAAGGUUACAUACCCUCGGUAAAGGUUUUAAUACAUGGUAAACUCGGUUCCCUUUCUCGGCACACAUAUCUAUGUAUAGUUGUAUGCAUACGAAUGGUUUUACUUAGUUUUAUAAAUGACAUUAUUUUAUCCCUACAUAGAGUGUAUACUAGUGUUUACCCACUAACCCAUCUACUGGCAGUUGUAUACCCACGCUAUGUAAGAGCUAGCCAUUCUACUCCUCUUGCUUAGUGAUCGGAUUCGGGUACAGUUGAUGUUGGAUUGAAGUGGUGAGCUUCCAUAGUCUGAAGGCAUCUAUUUCAUGUUGUGGUUUACUUUACAUAUUUCUUGUCCUCCAUAAACUUUGGUUUUUGUCUAUGGUCGGGGGCAUGUCCAGACUAGGUACUCUUUGGUUGGUCUAGAGGCUUUGUAUGGACAACUGUGGACUUGGGUAUGGUAUGGAUGGUUUAUGUUAUUUAUACAUACAUUGGCUUAUUAUAAAUACUUUUGGUCUAUGGUUUCCACAUUAGUUUGGUUGGUCAUUAGGUGGACAGACUUGGUUGGGUUGGUCUCGAUUAUAAACUUAUCCCAGAAUAACCACAUGGAUAAAUGCACUAUCUUGUUAUAUGUUUGGAAUUCAGCCGACUCAAGGUAUGAUUUUGGUGGUUGGGUUGGGUAACGGGGGCGGUUCCCGAUCUAUGUUGGUCUUGGGAUUGGCUAUUACGUCUAGGCCCUAGUUCGGGCUGUGACAGCAAAGUAGGUCUGGCCCAAUAAUGAACCGCUGCAACCUUGGCUGGAUCAACCAUAAUACCCUAGAUCAACCAUAAUACCUUCCUUAGUCACAACAUAACCUAAGAAAGAAAUAGACUCCAACCAAAACUCGCAUGUAGAGAACUUAGCAUAUAACUUCUCAUCCCUCAAUCUUUGAAGCACAUUUCGCAAAUGCUCUUCAUGCUCAACCUCACUCUUAGAAUAAACCAAGAUAUCAUAUAUAAAUACAAUAAAAAAGAAGUCAAGAUAUGGUCGAGAUACCCGGUUCAUUAGCUCCAUGAACGCGAUAGGGGCAUUAGUUAACUAGAAGGAUAUGACCAAGAACUCAUGAUGACCAUAUCGAGUCUGAAAGACUGUCUUUGGAAAAUCCAAAGCUCUAAUCCCCAACUAGUGAUAACCAGACCUCAAAUCAAUCUUUCAAAAAACUGCAACACCCUAAAGCUGAUCAAACAAAUCAUCAAUACGAGGAAGAGGAUACUUAUUCUUAACCAUCACCUUAUUCAACUGUUGAUAAUCAAUACACAUCCGCAUAGACCCAUAUUUUUUCUUCAAAAAUAAGAGAGAUGCACCCAAGGUGAAACACUAGGUCAGAUAGAUCCCUUAUUCAACAACUCCUACAACUGAUCCUUCAGUUCCUUCAAUUCUAUUGGGGCUAUCCUAUAAGGAGGAAUAGAAAUAGGUUUGGUGCCCAGUUUAACAUUAAUAGCAAAAUCAAUAUCUCGAUACGGAGGCAUACCAAGCAAGUCCAUAGAGAACACAUACAUAAACUCAUAGACAACAUGGACAAAAUUCAAGAAAGGAGUCAAAACAACACUAGUGUCAGUAAUAUGAGUCAAGUAAGAUAAACAUCCUUUUUCGACCAAUUUACGAGCCAAAACAUAAGAUAUAAUCCUUUUAGGACCCGAAUGAAGUGCACCCUUCCAACCUAUCCUUGACACACUCAGCGAGGCUAAAGUCACAGUCUUAGCAAAACAGUCAAAGAUAUCAUGAUAAGGAGCCAACCAAUCUACACCUAAAAUAACAUCAAAAUAUACCAUAUCUAACACAAGUAAGUCUACCAAAGUCUUACGCCCCAAAAAAGUCAUAAGACAAGAUUAGUGCACCUGAUCCACUACUGAAGAAUCACUUAUCGGGGCAGAUACACGAAUAGGUAUGGCAAGAGGCUCACUAACAGAACCAAAAUUGAAGCAAAAUACACAGACAGUUAGAAGAAAGUCGAUUCGAGAUCAAAUAAUACAGAUGCAGUCUGAAACAAAUAAGGACGAUACAUGUAAUCACAACAUCAGAAGCCUCUGCCUUAUGUCUGGUUGGUAUAUCAUAUCACUGACCACGACCCUUAACUGGCUGAGUAUCCCUAUGACCACCAUCGCAGGCUCCACCACCUCUACCUCUCAUCCUCUAGUAGUACCCCUACCUAUCAUAGCUAAAAUAGGAGUAGCCCAAAUCACCCAGUGGGGAUAGUCCCUGGCCACAUGGCCCAUCUCAUCAUACACAAAGAAAUCUCAAUAACCAACCUCAACAGAAGAAAGUAAAACUGGGUCCAAAUGAUCAUCCUGAACUGCUGAACUAAAACAUCCACCACAUGAACUCUGUAAAGCUACCUACACUGGCCUACUAUGGUAUUCAUAAAAAUCUCUAAAAUUUCUGCCUUGAUAGGUCUGACUCCUGAACUCAUCAAAACGUCACGCAUUCUUAGCGUCUCCCUAAGAUGCAUAAAGAAUACCCUCUAUCAUCUUAGCAUGAUCCAUAAUAUUCUAAAAAAAGCCCCAACACAACUAUUUGAGACGUAGACAACUGAAGGGAGACAUCUAAAUCCUUCAUAAACUUUUGAAUCUUCUUAGAUUCGAUGGAAAUACUGGCAUAGAAAUAUCUGGACAAGGCAUUAAAAUGUGCCUCAUAUUCUACAACGGUCAUAAAGUUCUUCUCCAGAUGAACAAACUCGCAUUAGUUAACUAGAAGGAUAUGACCAAGAACUCAUGAUGACCAUAUCGAGUCUGAAAGACUGUCUUUGGAAAAUCCAAAGCUCUAAUCCCCAACUAGUGAUAACCAGACCUCAAAUCAAUCUUUCAAAAAACUGCAACACCCUAAAGCUGAUCAAACAAAUCAUCAAUACGAGGAAGAGGAUACUUAUUCUUAACCAUCACCUUAUUCAACUGUUGAUAAUCAAUACACAUCCGCAUAGACCCAUAUUUUUUCUUCAAAAAUAAGAGAGAUGCACCCAAGGUGAAACACUAGGUCAGAUAGAUCCCUUAUUCAACAACUCCUACAACUGAUCCUUCAGUUCCUUCAAUUCUAUUGGGGCUAUCCUAUAAGGAGGAAUAGAAAUAGGUUUGGUGCCCAGUUUAACAUUAAUAGCAAAAUCAAUAUCUCGAUACGGAGGCAUACCAAGCAAGUCCAUAGAGAACACAUACAUAAACUCAUAGACAACAUGGACAAAAUUCAAGAAAGGAGUCAAAACAACACUAGUGUCAGUAAUAUGAGUCAAGUAAGAUAAACAUCCUUUUUCGACCAAUUUACGAGCCAAAACAUAAGAUAUAAUCCUUUUAGGACCCGAAUGAAGUGCACCCUUCCAACCUAUCCUUGACACACUCAGCGAGGCUAAAGUCACAGUCUUAGCAAAACAGUCAAAGAUAUCAUGAUAAGGAGCCAACCAAUCUACACCUAAAAUAACAUCAAAAUAUACCAUAUCUAACACAAGUAAGUCUACCAAAGUCUUACGCCCCAAAAAAGUCAUAAGACAAGAUUAGUGCACCUGAUCCACUACUGAAGAAUCACUUAUCGGGGCAGAUACACGAAUAGGUAUGGCAAGAGGCUCACUAACAGAACCAAAAUUGAAGCAAAAUACACAGACAGUUAGAAGAAAGUCGAUUCGAGAUCAAAUAAUACAGAUGCAGUCUGAAACAAAUAAGGACGAUACAUGUAAUCACAACAUCAGAAGCCUCUGCCUUAUGUCUGGUUGGUAUAUCAUAUCACUGACCACGACCCUUAACUGGCUGAGUAUCCCUAUGACCACCAUCGCAGGCUCCACCACCUCUACCUCUCAUCCUCUAGUAGUACCCCUACCUAUCAUAGCUAAAAUAGGAGUAGCCCAAAUCACCCAGUGGGGAUAGUCCCUGGCCACAUGGCCCAUCUCAUCAUACACAAAGAAAUCUCAAUAACCAACCUCAACAGAAGAAAGUAAAACUGGGUCCAAAUGAUCAUCCUGAACUGCUGAACUAAAACAUCCACCACAUGAACUCUGUAAAGCUACCUACACUGGCCUACUAUGGUAUUCAUAAAAAUCUCUAAAAUUUCUGCCUUGAUAGGUCUGACUCCUGAACUCAUCAAAACGUCACGCAUUCUUAGCGUCUCCCUAAGAUGCAUAAAGAAUACCCUCUAUCAUCUUAGCAUGAUCCAUAAUAUUCUAAAAAAAGCCCCAACACAACUAUUUGAGACGUAGACAACUGAAGGGAGACAUCUAAAUCCUUCAUAAACUUUUGAAUCUUCUUAGAUUCGAUGGAAAUACUGGCAUAGAAAUAUCUGGACAAGGCAUUAAAAUGUGCCUCAUAUUCUACAACGGUCAUAAAGUUCUUCUCCAGAUGAACAAACUCAUCAUGCAUCCGAUCCCUCAAAUUGUAAGGCAUAAAUCUCUCUAGAAAGGAAUUAGCAAAUUGAUCCCAUGACAACUCAGGAGCAUCAACAGGCUUACAAUCAAUAAUCGAUCUCCACCAAUCUUUCACAGUAUCUCCAAACUGAUAGGCUGUAUAAGAAACAACAUCCACAUAGAAAGAGUGGAACACAACUCAGAACAUAAGGCAUGAAAGAACUCCACACAAUAAAGAAUAAAUUGAGAGAAGUUUCUUAAAAAUGUCCUAUAGCCUCUCGAAGUUAGAUAUGGACGUUUAUAUACCGAUUCGUGAGACUCUAUUAGACAUCCCAUUCUUACAUUAUUGAGACCAAUGAACUUAACUGCCCUGAUACCAAUUUGUCCUGACCUAAAAAUUGAUAGAUCAUGAAGGCACUUAUCGCGAUGAACAUUGAAAAGUAAGCCUCUCACCCAAACUAAUAUACACGAGAAAAAGAUAGAAAUUCCCCUAAGGUAAGGCUUCUAGAACAAAGUAGAACCACAUAGAUAUAAUAAAAGCAUCAAAAAUAAAAUCAACACAUGUAACCAUAACUCCCAAAACCUGGUGUCAACAGUAAGAACUGGUAAUAUAAUCCCUGAGUCAAACACAUCAGAAAAAUAACCACAAAGAAAAAUAUCUAUCUCCAAAUAUUAAUAAAUACAUAACUAAUAUAGAAAGAUAAAGUUGAACUUUGAAUGUAUGAAUGCAAAACCGCUACCUUGAGAAUCUGAAGUCGCCUAAAAUCAAUCAGUCUGAGGCACACCUGAACCUAAAGCUGCACUAAAGGGUGAAGUAGGAGUGAGUACGGUCCACUUGUACUUAAUAGGUAUCAUAGGCUGAUUGAGAAAAGUAGAAAAUAAAGCAUGCAAAAUACACACUAAGGGUACAUUACCUACAAUGAAAAAAUAUCCAUAAUAGUUGCCCACAUUGCUUGCACUAACAGUUUUAAUAUAUCACAUAUAUUACAAAAGCACAACAAGAUAGAGAACAAGUAUGCAUUAUGUCACAUAUAAGUAAAACAAGGGAGAACAUGUAGAUACAAGAUCAUAAAAUACUAGUGAAGGAAGGUAAGACAAAUACAUAAAUGACAAGUCAAUAUGGUAAUAUAAUACAACAUAAACACAAUAAAGUAAGUGCAAUGUAUGUGAUGAUGAUGAUAAUGAUGAUGCACGAGGUCAUCGCACAACCUUCGAAAUCAUCGCACAAUCCCUCUAUACACCUACGGAGCUAAAGCUUUUCGACAUAGGACCCAUGGGGGUUCGUCAACCCGAAUACAAUCUACAAUCUCAUAUCUCCUCUCCGGCAUAUUCCUCAGAAAGGAUUUUAUAAGGUUUUGUAAUAUCUCCUUCCCAAUACUUCCCUUGAGGAGGGUUUUUAUAAAAUGUGUUGCCAGUGUUUCUCAAAUGUUGUCACGGUAGUACCAAUUUUUUAUGAAUGAGUAUGAUAUGAGGAUGUAAUGCUCACAACCAAUCACAAUGAAUAUUUUCACAAUCAAUCACAAUGAUAUAUUUCCACAACCAACUACAAUUAUACAUUUCCAUAAUCAUGUGAGCAAAUAUCCACUCAUUAUUUCUGUUUCAUCCAUGAAUUUCCACAUGUCUCAUAUAACAAAAAGUAUAAAUAUAUAACAAUACACCAAUGGUACCACAUUAGGUAUUUCAACAACAUAAUACAAUUAUUCAUAUAUAUUCGAGGCUAUAAACAUCACAUAGGGACUCCACACAGUCACACAUAUCAUAUAGUAUCUCAAUUUCAACAAUUACAUUACAUACAGGCCCCCUCACGGGUAAAAUGCAUAGAUAUAUAUUUUUCAUGAUUAGUUCCCACCUUUAACAUGUAUUUUGUACCAUCAUUUACUAUCCAGACCAAUUUAAAAAAGUUAAACCAUAACCUACCUUGAAUGCUGAGAUCGGUUUGCUACACUUUGAACUCAAGACAUUACUUUCCAAGAACAAUCUCAAACAUUACCAAAAAUAUCAAAUAUAGAAUCUACGUAUAAAAAAAACAACGACACUUAUAUUGACUACUUCUGAUUUUGGACCAAAAUGGACCCCCAAAAUGAGUUUUUAAAAAAGAAGGAAAAAAUUAUAAUUUUUCUUUAAAAAUAUGUUUUCCAUAUUUUUAUAAACCUACAGCUGAAAAACCAAGUCAAAUCGUGUAAAAAAUGAGGGUCAAAUCGAAUAAAAACUAUUUUUGAGCUUUUCUGGGUAAAACAUUUGAAAUUUGGGUUAAAAUCAAGAAUCAAAAUUUUUUUGGAGGUUAAAUUGAUGAAAAACUAGUAAUUAUAAGAUUAAAAUAUUAUUUAAGUGAAAAUAAGUGAAAUUGGGGUUUAAAAUCAAGCCCUAAAAUUUUUGAAGUUUUGAGAAAUUAAUCAAGAAAUUACUAAGAAAAGGAUGAAUUCCUACCUUAAAUCCGUAAUAGAAUCAAGAAAUAGAUGUUAAUAAAGCCUUCCAAGCUCCCACAAGCUUCACUUUUAAGCUCCCACACUAUCUUAGAGUUUAACUCUCAAGAGGCAAGGUGAAAGAAAGGACAAAAUGGACCAAUAAUAGGAUAAAAAGCUGAUUUUAAUAGCAUAUUUGCACCAGAUUUUUCCUUUCAAAGUCCCACCCGAAUUUCAACGGGGUGUCCAAGAUUCGUUGGGAUUUCGAUAUAUGCAAACGAACUAUGCAAUCACACUAAAUUUGAUGUUCCGGACGUGUUGGCAAAUUUAUAUUUUUUUAAAAAAUAUCGUUUUCACAAAGUUGACCACAAAAAUUCAAAAUCGCAAUUUUCCAAACUGAGGGCCAAAAUAAGAUUUAAAAGCUAUAAAAUCACACCAAAUAUGUUACCACCCUAAAAUUAAUAUUUUAAAUCUGCUGACAAAUUUGAAUUUUCCAUCCGAGGUCGUUUUACCCAAAUGUGGGUUCCACACUUAUAUUUUCAAUUUUUAACUUUUCGAUCAAUAGGUCAAAAUGAGCUCACAUGCACAGGACCUGAACCAAAGGUCUACCUAGCCUAAAAUUGAUAUUUUGGAUCUGUUGGCGUAGUUCGUUUAGCCAUCCAUCACACGGAUCAAAAGAUAUCUACAUAAGUCCAAAAUAAGGAUUUUAAAGCCUAUAAAAACUACAAUAUCACAUAAAUGACACCAAAAUGCAUCAGAAAUAAUGUCAAUCACCCCCACACCCCGCAAAUACUAUAAUGAAACUAUGGAGAGGGAUAAAAUAGUCAAAUUACAUAAAAAACACACAAUUUACAUAUUUCAUAAAAAAAAGCUAGUCGUUACACUAGAGGAGUCAGGAAACGGUAGAUUUGGAGCAGUAAAGAUAAAAUCGUCAGGUAUAAGACAGGGAGAAUAACCAAAUAUGGAAGUAGUGGGAAAAGAUGAAGGAAGAGAAUAAAUAAAAACAAACUCGUGAAAAAUAACAUAUCUGGAGAUGAGAAUAGAUUUGGAUUUAAAAUUGUAGAGUUUAUAUCCCUUUUGGUCAAAUGGAUACCUUACAAAAACACAAAGGACAACCCUUGGCUGAAAUUUAUCUCUUUGACAUUUAGGCACUGAUACAUAACACAAACAACGAAAGGUCUUCAAGUGGUCAUAAUAAGGGGCUUUUGAUACGAGUAUGACUACGAGGACGGACGAGAAUGAGUGUGUAUUGAAUCCAUCCAAGGAAGUACACAAGUGAAGUGUAAAAGAGGGCCUAAAUGCACUAAAAACACCCCCUAAGUUACACUUGAUGGGCACCUCACCCUUGAGGGGUACUGUAGUUAUUUUGUAUUCUAUUUUAUAAUACACUAUAUAUAGAACCUCUUAAGGUUGUUAGUCUGAGAUGUUUAUUGAUAUUGAAAGUUGUAACACUUGAAGAAUAUUUCUCUGUUGUGAGAAAGGCCUCUUGGCCAAAAAAUAUUGUAAUUAGUAUUUCCAACUUGAGUGUGAAAUCAUUCGUGUUGGAUUCAUGCUUGGAACGUUGGGUGCUAGAGGAGGUUGAGGUCUCUCUUGUGCUCACCAAAGAUAUAGGUAUUUGUAGUGUGUAGUGUUAAGGGUCCAAGAGUGGAAUAGGCUUUUGGGUUCUUAUAAUUAUACCUUCACUUUGUCUAUCUAUCUAUCUAUCUUUACAUUUUUUGUACUCUUUGUUGUUGUUCUAGUCAAAACCCUGUGUUGUUAUUUUCGUUGUGUUAUUGUUCAUCUUGUUCUUCAUAUUGUUAUCUUGAUACUCUCUUUGUUAGUUUGUGGUGGCUAUUUUGGUGUUAAAUACACCAUUGUUAUCUUAUAUUGUUGUUGUCGUAGUGAAUCCGAGAGUGGUCUCCAAAAAGGUCCUCGGAUCCUUAAGAUUAAUGGACUGAUUUGGAGUGUGUUUCGUGUAUUCCAAGUUUUUAUCGUAUCAUUUGGUAUCAGAUCCAUAUUUGGUGUUGUUCUUACAAUACCAAUCUUAGGCUUUCUUGCUAAGAAAAUAAAACAAAAGAAAGAAGAAAGAUGUGUUCUUGAGCUUGAGAUCUUGGCCGAGAAGUUGAACUUGUUGUUGUUGUAUCUUGGACGAAUGUUGUGUGUCUAGGUCUAGGAUUUAUUUUUCUUGUGUUGUUUCAAGUGUUAGUAUUCUUGUCCAUUAACACUUUGUGUCGAUCUAGAUUUGAGCUUUAAAAAAAUUGAUGUUAUUGCUGUGAAUAAGGCCAUGGCCGUGUGUUGAAGUUAUUGUUCUUGGAUGAGUGGACUUGUUGUUAUAGUCUUGGUUGGACGUUGUUGGUGUUGAUCUUGAUAAAGUUUUUGUUGAGUUUUUUACUUUCAUCACAACCUUCACCCUUGCUAAACCUGAAAUACAACACCAAAAAUAACCUUGGUCAUGUGUUGACACUAAAAUUAGCCGUGAUGUGUGUUGAUAUUGCCCGUGGGGUAGAAAUUGUUGUUGUGUCAUUGAUGUGUUCUUGAAGGUUGUUGUGGUUUUCAUCUUGUUCUUCAUCUCAUCUUACAACUUAAGACAACCAAAAGUGUAAUAUAGAUUCAAAAAGGUGAACCUACAAGUUGUAAAGUUGUUUGUGAGAAGACUUGAGGCAUCACUUCCUUGACUUGACAUCUACUUUUCAACCACUUUUCUUGUUUCAAGGGACCUUGUUUUAGUUAAAUUGUAUAAAUUCAAGUGUCACCUUUUGAAGAUUAGACUUAAAGGAGAUUCAAGACAUAUACUUUCCCUCCAAAACCAAUUGUUUCCAUUACAUAGUUACUAAAGUCUGUAAACUUCAACUAGUGACUAAUUGUGGGGCUGCGACCAAUGGUAUGCUUCCACAUCAUCAAGUUACUAUUCACACAUCAUUUUUGAGCUCAAAUUUUAGAUUUUCUUAGUUUUUUUUAUUGUUCCAUAGUUUCACUAGUACUCAUCUACUAGAUUCUUAGUUAGUCUUUGUGUUUGUUCAUUCGUGUUUUGCGUUUGUUGUGUGCUUUUUUUCUCUUUUGUGAAUUCGUUGUGUCAUGUUGGUUCAAGUCCAUUAAAAAAUUUCUUUUGAGUCAACUCAAACAAAAAUUUAUUUCGGGCAUAGAUAGACUCAUCCCUCAAUCACUCACGAAGUAUAAGCCGACUUUCAACACUUGCGAAACCAAGUGUGAGGUAAAACCAAGAGUAAGAGUGUGGUGAGGUAUUUUGAGCUAAUAAGUUUGUUUUGUUAUUUUUUGUUGUCCUUUGCUUUAGGUACCAUGGCGUCCACUAAUUUUGAUGCCAUGUUUGAUCGCAUCAACGACGAUCUUGAAGAAAUGAAAUGGCACGUGGAAAGGCUACGCCAAUUGUUACCUAAACUUAUCCCACAAAAUCCAACUUCCCUUGUCCAAGCACUUUGUGACGAGCGCUUCCUAAAGGAAGAGGUGGGCUACCCCAACCCACACCAAGGUAAAAAGGAGAUUGAAACAUCUUUUGUACUUGAUAAUGAACUUAUAGAGAGUGAAGCACUUGCUAGUUCCAAAUCUGUCCGUGAGAUAGAUCGUGCUCUCUUUAGGUUUAAUGUUUUUUUUGAAGAUGAUAUAAACACUCCUAAUGAACCUAGCGGUGAAAAUGAUGGUAUAGCUUUCCUUGAAGGCUAUAUCCGAUAUGCUAACCCACUAUGGUGUGACAACAUUCCUCCAAAAGAUGGAAAUCUCUUCUUGGAAGAUUAGAGUACUCUUAUGGGCAAGGAAUGUGUAGUCUCGGAAAUGAGUAUUCUUGGCAGUACUCUUGGUGUGCAUGAUGAUCAAUUUACUCUUAAAUGUAGUUCACUACUUGAUCAUGUAAAUGGAGUGCUUAAAAAUUCUCAAGUUAGUAAUGGUGUCUAUAGAAUUGAUCUUGAUAAUGCACAUGUUUCUUUGAACAUCUUGUGUGGUAAAAGAAUUGCAAUUAGUUUUGUUAAUAGAGAUCAUGUGCAUGAAAAUGUUUUUCUGUGUGAAUGUGGGAGUGACAUUCUAGGGAAAGGAAGGGAUAGCCUCGGCUUAGGCCCUUGGCUAAUUUUUCCAUUUGAUCCGGUACCAUCUUUGGGGUGGGAAACGAUGACUCUUGGCCUAUUUUUCUUUUAUCUUUAUGCUUGUCCAAGCCACUUUAUUUGUAGCAAUUGUACUAAUCUUUUCAUGAUUAAAACAAAGGACUCGAGGCUAUACUUCAAAUUUUUCCCGCCUCGGCAUGGAAUGUUGAUGUGUUAUUUUUACUAACCCUAACCCCUCAUGUCAUAACGAUGUGUGCUUAUUUGUCUUCUCUUGAUUUGCAAGGUAUGGAUUCGAGGUUGAAUCUUUUCCAAAAAGGGGAGGAUGAUACGAGUAUAACCACAAGGAUGGACGAGAAUGAGUGUGUAUUGAAUCCGUCCAAGGAAGUGCACAAGUGAAGUGUAAAAGAGGGCCUAAAUGCACUAAAAACACCCCCUAAGUUACACUUGAUGGGCACCUCACCCUUGAGGGGUACUGUAGUUAUUUUGUAUUCUAUUUUAUAAUACACUAUAUAUAGAACCUCUUAAGGUUGUUAGUCUGAGAUGUUUAUUGAUAUUGAAAGUUGUAACACUUGAAGAAUAUUUCUCUGUUGUGAGAAAGGCCUCUUGGCCAAAAAAUAUUGUAAUUAGUAUUUCCAACUUGAGUGUGAAAUCAUUCGUGUUGGAUUCAUGCUUGGAACGUUGGGUGCUAGAGGAGGUUGAGGUCUCUCUUGUGCUCACCGAAGAGAUAGGUAUUUGUAGUGUGUAGUGUUUAGGGUCCAAGAAUGGAAUAGGCUCUUGGGUUCUUAAGAUUAUACCUUCACUUUGUCUAUCUAUCUAUCUUUAUAUUUCUUGUACUCUUUGUUGUUUUUCUAGUCAAAAUCGUGUGUUGUUUUUUCUAUUGUGUUAUUGUUCAUCUUGUUCUUCAUCUUGUUAUCUUGAUACUCUCUUUGUUAGUUUGUGGUGGUUGUUUUGGUGUCAAAUAUACCAUUGUUAUCUCGUAUUGUUGUUGUCGUAGUGAAUCCAAGGGUGGUCUCCAAAAAGGUCCUCGGAUCCUUAAGAUUAGUGGACUGAUUUGGAGUGUGUUUCAUGUAUUCCAAGUUUUUAUCGUAUCAGCUUUUCCAUUUAACAAUUCUAAAGGUGUCUCAUUGGAAAGAAUUGAAGAGGGAAAUCUAUUUAUUAGGUAAGCAGUUAAUAAGAAAUCUCCCCAAAAACUUUUAGAAAGAUUCGAUUUAAAAAAUAAAGCUCUUGAAGUUUCCAGGAGGUGUUUGUGUUUUCUCUCAACAACACUAUUUUGUUGAGGUUUUUGUGUUUUCUCUCAACAACACUAUUUUGUUGAGGUGUAUGAGGACAAUUGGUUUGGUGUAUGAUUCAAUUACCCAAAAAAACUUUUUUGAUAGAUUAAAAGAACCACGAUCGAGGGCAUUAUCUCUUUUAAUGGUUUUACUGGUAGAUUAAAUUGAGUCUUAACCAUAAAAAUGAAGCUUUAAGUAUGGAAAACACCGCUUUUGGAAUUUAACAAAUGUGUCCAAGUAGCCCGACUAUAAUCAUCUACUUUAGUCAGAAAAUACCUGGCACCAGAAUAUGUUUGUGUAUGGUAGGGCCCCCAUGUGUCAAUAUGGAUAAGUUGAAAUAAAGAAGUAGAUUUUGAUGAACUAUCUGUGAAAAGUAAUCUAGCUUGUUAAGCUAAAGGAUAAAUGUGGCAAACAAAACAUUGUUUCGGAGACAAUUCAGAGGAUAUAAAAGGUAUGCACUUCAUUUUUACAAAAGGAAUAUGUCCGAACUUGUAAGGCCAAAUUACAUCAACAUUGUUUACAUUUUUCAUAGAUUAUGCAACAGAAACAUAUGAAGGAAAUAAACUAGUAUUUACAAAUUCAUUUAAAGGAAAUAAAGGAAUAACAUUCAUAGAUGGUGCAAAAUUAUUCCAAUCUAAAAUGGAGUGACCAUGUUUAGUUGAGAAAGUUGUGUCCAUAGUGGAAGAACAUGAGAAUGAGUUGGGAAAGUGUUGAAGGUGGUACAGUCCUUGGUGCAGCUUACCAAGUACCAGAAGUUUCUUAUUGGAAAGGUCUUAUACCAGGCAGGAAAAAGUAGUGAAGAGAUCAAAACUAUUAAAUUGUUGCAUGAGUUUAUGCACAGAAAUUAGAUUGUACUUGAAUAUAGGAAUAUAAAGUACCCGUUGGAGAGUAAAAGUUGAAGAAAGAGAAAGAGAACCUGUAGAGGUCACCUUCACUCUAUAUCCAUUAGGUAAUGUAACUAAGUAUGGGACAGAGAGAGGUGUAAUAUUAGAGAGAAGAAUUUUAUCAAAGGUCAUGUGGUUGGUUGCUCUUGAAUCUACUAUCCAAAUGCUUCUAGCUACACUAGUUAAUAUACAAGUAGAGUAAGAAAUACCAUUAAAAUUAGGCAAGUAAGAAGAACUACCAACCAAGUUAGUAGAUCCUAUUAAGUCGGAGUAAGGACUAGCAUUUGAAUCAGCAAGAUUGCACUGUUGCGGAAACAUAAACAACUGGGAAGAUUGCCCCUUAGUCAAACUAGGAACUAAACAACCUUGAUCAGAAGAAGAAGGUUUAGAUAUAGUAUACACAGAAUUCUGAUAAGAUGUGGACUCCACAUUAGCAGCAGUCCCAAACUUUCAAUUUUUGGUGAACUUAAAAUUGGGCAAAAAUCCAUGCAAUUUAUAACACUGAUUAAUGGAAUGUCUUGGCUUCUGGCAGUAUUUGUAAGUGAGAAGAGUUUUAGCAUAAAUCGAGUGGUCCUUCAGAGUAAAGUGCCUUGGAGGUGGUUGUGGACGUUGAGAUAGCUUGAAAUUCAGUUUUGCAUGAAAAGAAGCCAUUUCAGAAUGAUGUUAAGCCUAAAGAUUGACUUGUCGUUGUGUUUCAUCUUGUAAAAGAAUACUAUAAGCACUAUCAAUAGAAGUCAAGGGGUUCAUCAUGAGCAUGUUUCUCCUCACACCAACAUAAGCAUCAUUAAUCCCUAUGAAAUUGGCAUAGUUUGUUUUCUUUAUCUUCCUGUUUUAAACCUUGUUUUAAAGCACAUGUGCACUCAUUAUUGUAAUUUUUACACAUCGAACCCAGAUUAUCCCAUAAUUUUUUUAACUUAGUGAAAUAAUAAGCUAUGUAAAGUUCCCCUUGAGAUAUAGAAGGUAGUUCCUUCUUCAGCAUAAAAACUUUGGUUCCAUUUAUAAUGCCAUAUAUUUUGUUAAUCUAUUCCUAUAUACUCGGUGCGGUCUUGAAAUACUGCACACUAGCAGUAAUUUCUAGUGAAAAGGAACUCAUUAAUUACGACAUCACCAUGUUGUUACACCUAUCCUAGAGUCGCGCAUGAGCGGAACCUUCAGGUGGCCUAGGACAGGAGCCGUCAAUAAAUGUUAUCUUACUUUUGGCUAACAAAUAUGCAAUUAUUCCUCUUUUCCAUCUCCUAAAGCUAAUGUGCUAGCUUUUUGUUAGCAUAUUUAAGGCUUUUAACUCAGAAUAAUUGUAGAUUCUUAAGUAACUAUUGUUAUUUUUGAUUGUUUUCUCUUUAAUAUUACAGUAAAGUCAAGAUGCAAGAAAAUCAACGACAAUGAAAUCAAUAGAGAUGAAAUUAGAGCAAACAGACAUCAAAGUAUAGUUGACGACUUGUCUGAUAAGUCGUCAAAGUGAUAAGUCAUCAAAGUCAUCAUCUACCUUAGGUAGUGUAUGGGAGUUAGAUUUUGAAAGUGACGACAUCUGCUGAUAAGCCAUCAACUUUGUGAUAAGUAUCAGGAUUACCGUCAGCCUUAGGCAGUGUUCAGAAGCUGAGUUGAAGAAGUGAUAACAUUCUAUGAUAAGUCAUUAGAUCUUUGAUAAGCCGUCAAAAUCGUCAUCAGCUGAAGACAGCGACAUAUCAAAUACAGAGAGAAAUUAAUGACAUAUUUGAUAAGCCGUCAACCCCCUGAUAAGUCGUCACAUGUUGUCAUCACCUGUGUGAGAAAAAGUUGUAUGUUGUGGUUUGCUUCCAAAAUUAGGCUAAGUAAUUAAGGCAAAGUUGAAGGUUUUCGAGGGCAUCUUGAACUUCACGACAUUAAUCCAUUUUCUCUCUAAUUUUUAAGGCUUAACAUCUUGAACUUAUUCGAAAAACUAUUUUACUUCUCUUUGGUCUCUAAACUUGGAUUACAAUUUUUAAUUCUUUGAUUUAGUUGUGGGAUAUUCUUCUUGAAUUUGGGAAGAGAAUCAAUUUCUGACUACAUCUUUUGUAAGUUUAAUCACUUUGAAUUAUGAAUUUAGUUAUUGUUAUCGCUUUCUUUCUCAUGUGGAACUAAAACCCAUAACUAAGGUUGUGGGAUCUAUGAUUAUUCCUUUGUGGAUUUUAUAGUUGUUUAGGGUUCGAGUGAUUAUGGGAGCAUCUUGAUAAUUUCUUUGUAAUGAUUUUUUUCUAUUGGUUACAAGCAACAGAUCUAGCCUUAUGUUUGUUUGCUCGAACUGAGAAAUAAACUAAAGGUAGCGAAUUAUCAAUGAGGAUUUAGGAAGGUUAAGUUCUCAUCUAAUGAUUAAUGUUGUAACAAGAUUGAUCAACUCGAGAUAAAAUCAGUAUGAAUAGAAUAUUUUCUUAAGUUUGAGAGAAUUAGGGAGUUCAACAUCUAGGUAGGUUGAGCAACACUUAGAUGGACUAUUGAAACUGAUAAUUUGGUGUUUCCCACAAGUCAUGAGAAUCCAGUACUACAACUAUCAUUCAAUGAGGGGUUAAUAAUCAUAGUGAUCACUACUCUAGUAUCUCUAUAUCAUUGACUUGAAAUAUUGUAGUUUAAGCGUUGAGUUCUGAAGUGAAUUGAAGUGUUAAUAACUUUUGUUCAAUCAUAAAAAAAACCCAUUUUAUCUUUUCUUAUCAUUUAUUUGAAUUUAACUUGUAGCUAGUGUUUCAAAUUAGUUUAAUCGCCACUCAUAUUGUUCCUUAUGGAUUCGACCCCGACUUAAAAGUUGGAUAAAUAUAUUGACGAGACUGCCUUACACUAAAUUGACGUAUAGGUUAAGCAUUAUCAAAAAUGGCACGUUGUCGGGGAACAAUUUGGUGUAUUGAGUUGGUUUGGAAUUUUAGCCUACUUGCUUGAAUUCAAACUUGUAAAUAUUUAUUUUUAGUUUUCUUUUAUUUCUUGUGUUAGGUAGAUUUUUAUUUUAGUUUACUUAUUACUAUGACAUCGUGGAAUGACCAUGAGCUUGAUGGUUGAAAAUCUUAUCUUGAUGAUCCAUGUCCAUAUUGUGAUGGACCUCACUUUUGGCAAGAUUGUAGAUAUGCUCCCCGGAGAGAGAUGUGUGCACCAUUUUCAUCCUAUCGGGAGUAUGAUUGUUCUUUAUGUGAUGGUCAAGAUGGACAUUGGAGUGAUUGCCCAAAUACCCCCUCCCUCUAUUGUGCUAACUCAAAUUCUAGUUCUUCUUAUGAGUUUUAUAGGUCUUAUGGUUANNNNNNNNNNNNNNNNNNNNNNNNNNNNNNNNNNNNNNNNNNNNNNNNNNNNNNNNNNNNNAAGCUAUAUUUUAAUGAAUAUUGUAUCUCAAGAAAGAAAUGUAUGAUAUCAUAUGUGAUAUGCGUCAAGACAUGAAGCUAAUAAUUAAUGAGGAGAUGGAUAUAGAGGUCAAUCAUUUAAAGAAUUUUUCUAUAUUAUGUUUAGAUGAUAUCUUGUCUAUAGAAUCAUUUAAAAUAAUGUAAGAGUGUGAAGAUGAGGAGCAAGAAUUCUAUAUUAAUGUUGAGCUUGAUGAUGAGCAACCCUCAGUGAUUUCCCAACCAACCGAACCAACCAUGAGAUAUGAUGCCAAGAUUGAGGAAAUGGUGCUAGAGGCAAAAGAAGAAACCGAGCCAAUCUUUUAUAAAGACUCUAGCCCAAUUCGGGGUGAAGAGGUUGAGAAGGAUGCAACUCCAAAAUCAGGGAGAAGACCUCACUUGAAUCACUUUUCAACAUUAUGCUUGGUGGAUGUGAUGAAAGUCGAAUCACCCAAGCAAAUGAUGAAUUUUGGAAAUGAGGAGGAAAAUUCCUAUAUUUUUGAGUUUAUCUUUUCGAAAGGAUAUAAUACAACCCCAAUCUUGAAGGCCAAGAAGCUUAAAGAUUGAUGUCCAUUUAGUGGCUUUUUAUGAUUCUCACAUUGCCAAAUUAGCCCACAUGAAAGUUCGAUUCAAAAUUGGGCAAGUGGUUCAAGUCUUUGAAGUGGCAUGAUAGAACUUUCCUUAUCAUGCUCUCAUAUUUGCCCAACGCACCUCAAAGAUGUAAAGAUCGAAAGAUAGGCCGACGAUUCAAAUCGUCUAAGUGGAGGAAUAAAUUAUGAAGGACUUUCAAGUAUCUUGAUGAAUUUUGAGUAGUCAAGAUAAACUAGUCGUGCCGUGACAUUAAAUCAGGAGCUUCUUAGGAGGCAGCCCAAGGCAUUUUGUUAUUUGUAUUUGUAUUAUGUGAUUGACAUCAGAUCUUUGCACCUAUGGUUCCACAGGUAUAUUUCUAACUCUCUUAUUUUAGUUUGACGCAUUUGGGAUAUUGCAUGAUUUUAAGUUGAGGGUGGGGCUACUUGUGGGUGUUGAUGUCCUCUUGGGGUUCUUUUUUGCCGUAACCCUUUUCCCUGGAGUCUUGUUCCUAGUAGAGAUGGUAUAUUUAGGUGUAUUGUGUUUGUUUUGUGAUGUGUUGUGGUUAACUAGGGGAAAAAUAAGUAUCUAGGAUAGUUGACAUAUUUUUGUUGAUUUUUCUUGGAAUGAGAAAUACCUCUCUAAUUAUCUAUCUGGUAUCUCUGUGUGUGUAUCUAUAUGUAACUACUGUGAAUCUAUCUCUGGCAUUAGUACUAUGGACAUGAUAAUCACUGCUAACAAUUGCAUGAACCGAAUGGGUAGUAGUUUGUGAUGUACCUUUGUGCCAUGUGUGUGUGAGAUACUACCUAGUUUUCGUUGUGUGUUAAAUCCAUAACUUUUCUGGUUAGUCUUGCCUUGGUUGUAGGAUAGCGGUUAGGAAAUGAUCAUAGGCAGUUGUUGAUAUUAGUCCACUUUUAUCCUAAAUGACCUUCCAUGUGUGAAUAAUGUCCCUUGAUCCCGGUUUUGAGCCUGAAUGCCUAUUCUUUUUAUUAUACCUAUCACCUUCCCAUUUGUAUCACAAUUAACCUGUUUUGGCCCUGGUCCUCCUUGGACAUUGUGCCCUUUGACUUAGGCAAAUAAGCUAGGUUGAGCGUAGCUAUCAUAGGGGUGCGUGAUUUAAAGUGAGUAUGAAGAAAGGUAAUAAAAAAAUAUACAAGGUUGGGCGUGGUAGAAAAAGAAUCAGAAAAGAAAAGUUGUGAAAAAAGAGAAAAUGAAUGAAUAAAAACUGCACCCAGCUUGAAUGUCCUUUAAUCAAUAAAGGGAGAAAAUAAGGUAAAGGUUGAUAAGUGAGACCCCAAAAAUAGUGUAGUGCCAAGGAGGCUUAGUUACUUUAAAUAUCCUUAUGUAGCAUACCAGCCCCUAGCCUACAUUACAAGCUGAAGAAAAGUCCUAUAGUGAUCUUAACUUAACUGUCUGAAAGCUUCGAUAAUGAAAAUAAGGGCAAGCUUAUGGUAUUUGGCAUACAUUGACUGUAACUUCUUUCUGAGAGUGAGUGUCUCUUGGCCUUCCCCGCAUUGACAUGCUUGAGUUCACAUAUGAGUGAGGAGGGACUUCUUUAUUGUAAGGGCAUAUCGGUUGCAUUGCUAGUUACCUACUUGUUUGGGAAGUGUAAUUUGUAUAUAGGCAUAGUUAUUGUUGCUAAUUUGAUGCCAUAUCUUGGUUCCCUUGUGUCGCAUUAUUGAUCUUUAUUGAUAUACACAGUUGGAUUUAGAGUGAUUGAACUUGGAGAGUGUAAUGUGUUUGGAGCUAAAAUUGAUGAUCAACUGUCAUAGGUAUCUUAUGCUUUACUUGGUUAAGCAUCGUAGUAUGGUGUCAUGUAGUUGCUUAAGGAUAAGUAAUUGCUUUAAGUUGAGGGUGUUGAUGUGCUAACUUUUUGUUAGCACAUUUAAGGCUUUUAACUUAGAAUAAUUGUAGGUUCUUAAGUAACUAUUGUUGUUUUUGAUUGUUUUCUCUUUGAUAUUGCAGUAACGUCAAGAUGCAAGAAAACCAACGACAAUGAAGUCAAUAGAGAUGAAAUUGCAGCAAACAGACGUCAAAGUAUAUUUGAUGACUUUUCUGAUAAGUUGUCAGCUCUGUGAUAAGUCGUCAAAGUCAUCAUAAACCUUAGGCAGUGUAUAGGAGUCAAAUUUUGGAAGUGACGACAACUACUGAUAAGCCAUCAACUUUGUGAUAAGUCGUCAGGAUUACUACCAGCCUUAGGCAGUGUUCAGAAGCUGAGUUGAAGAAGUGAUGACAUUCCGUGAUAAGUCAUCAGAUCUUUGAUAAGCUGCCAUACUCAUCUUUAGCUGAAGACAGCGACAUAUCAAAUACAGAGAAGAGUUGAUGAGAUAUCUGAUAAGUCGUCAACCCCCUAAUAAGUCGUCAUAUGUUGUCGUCACCUGUGUGAGAAAAAGUUGUAUGCUGCGAUUUGCUUCCAAAAUUAGGCUAAGUAUUUAAGGCAAAGUAGAAGGUUUUCGAGGGCAUCUUGAACUUCACGACAUUAAUCCAUUUUCUCUCUAGUUUUUAAGGCUUAACAUCUUGAACUUAUUCGAAAGACUAUUUUACUUCUCUUUGUUCUCUAAACUUGGAUUUCAAUUUUCAAUUCUUUGAUUUAGUUGUGGGAUAUUCUUCUUGAAUUUGGGAAGAGAAUCAAUUUCUGACUACAUCUUUUGUAAGUUUAAUCACUUUGAAUUAUGAAUUCGGUUAUUGUUAUCGCUUUCUUUCUCAUAUGGAACUACCCAUAACUAGGAUUGUGGGAUCUAUGAUUAUUUCUUCAUGGAUUUAAUAGUUGGUUAGGGUUCGAGUGAUUAUGGGAACAUCUUGAUAAUUCCUUUGUAAUGAUUAUUUUCUAUUGGUUGUAAGCAAUAGAUCUAGCCUUAUGUUUGUUUGCUCGAACUGAGAAAUAAACUAAAGGUAGCGAAUUAUCAAUGAAGAUUUAGGAAGGUUAAGUUCUCAUCUACUGAUUAAUGUUGUAACAAGAUUGAUCAACUCGAGAUAAAAUCAGUAUGAAUAGAAUGUUUUCCUAAGUUCGAGAGAAUUAGGGAGUUUAGCAUCUAGGUAGGUUGAGAAACACUUAGAUGGACUGUCAAAACUGAUAAUUUGGUAUUUUCCACAAGUCAUGAGAAUCCAGUACUACAACUAUCAUUCAAUGAGGGGUUAAUAAUCAUAGUGAUCACAACUUUAGUUUCUCUAUAUCAUUGCCUUUAAAUAUUGCAGUUUAAGCUUUGAGUUCUAAAGCGAAUUGAAGUGUUAAUAACUUUUGUUCAAUCAUAAAAAAACCCUAUUUUAUCUUUUCGUAUCAUUUGUUUGAAUUUAACUUGUAGCUAUAGUUUCAAAUUAGUUUAAUCACCACUCACAUUAUUCCUCGUGGAUUCGACCUCGACUCCAAAGUUGGAUAGCUAUAUUGACGACGACUGUCUUGCACUAAAUUGACAUGUAAGUUGAGCGUUAUCAAAAUCCUACACCAAAUAAAUGUAUAUGUACUAAAGACGUUCCAGGAACAUCAGAGGAGUGCAUAAAAGGAGGACUAGAGGAAUAUACUCGCAAUAACACACUCAACCAAUCGACAAACAAUCACCUCAAAAUUCAAAUAAAGAUGUAGAGGAUAAGGAAAUGAAGUACAAAACAAAUCCACAACCUAAAAAAACACUUUAUCGGAGAAGCCGACUGCACAUUUGAGGAUACCUGAAAAAAUACCUUCUGAUCGGAACCCUAGACCGGAGAAGACUACUGCAAAUAUGAGGAUAUCUGAUAAAAAUACCGUCAAAUCAGAAUAUAUUAUAUUUUUUGUCACAAAUUUCGUUAGAGAUCAAUAAAAUAUUGCACUUUUUUGUCAAAAAUUCUGAUAGAUAUCAACAAAGAAGGAUCAAAAUUUGAAAGAAAAUGCAGAGGAUAGGAUCGGAGAAUAAAAUCACUAGAAUUUAGCAAAUUUCCUCUCUGAUACCAUGUGAAAUUUUCAAAAAUUAUAGAGAAAAGGAGUAAAAUACAAUAAGUGUUUUGUGAAGAUGACGAGAGAAAGAAACUGAUUUCAUAUUUCUCAAAAUAUCCAAUGAGCUACAGUACAAUAAAUGCCCCUUAUAUAGUUGGGAAAGUCCACCUACUUAGUACCCAAAUAGGGUUGUUACAAAAUGGGCCAGUCCAUUUAAAAAUGUGAAGUAUAGAAAUUGAAAACAAAAUCACUACACACUACGUAACGCUAACAAAAAUGAGAGUUCUCAUGGAGGAGUAAAAAAAAUAAAAGGAUGUGGUUGACAUAUCCAUUCUUAUGUAAAAUAAAUAAAAAGGUUAACUAUACUAAACAUUCCUAUAAUAUAUUUUUGUUUCAGAUAUAGCUAGAAAUAGCGCCAGGAAAGAUCAAGGGGUUCACUUAAAGGAGUUUAGGUGAAAAAUAUAGUGCCUAUAGAUGAUUAAAAUUUUAUAUUUUUAUAUAUAUAAUAGGUACUGAACCUCUUUUAGUUUAGUAGUAUGUUUAUUUUUUUAUUAUUUAGACCCUCUUAAUGAUAAUCCCGGCAGAUCUAGAUAGAGUCAUUGAUUUUAAAAUCAAAUAGUUACACCCAAAAGAUACUAUAGAAAUUCUAAACAUACACCCGAUAUAUGAAGUAUAUCAUUAAAUAACUACAUAUAUUAAAUUAUAAAUUAUUAAAAAUAAAUGAAAAUUAUAAAUAGAAAAAUGGCAAAGCUAUUUUAUGAAAUUUAAAAGGGAGAAAACAUUGGUUGAAAACUUGUAUUCACACAUUUGAUUAAAAAAAGCAAAAUAUAUUUUCUGAAAUAUGUCUUUUGAAACUCUUGAAUAGCAAAUAAAUACAAAUAACAUAAUAAAUGUUAUGAAAUAUAAAAUAAGAACAAGAAGAAUAGAGAGAGAAGAGAGAGUGAUUCUUAUUUCUCUAGAGGAAUUCUUGAGGGGUUCAAUUACAAUGAAAGAAAAUUCUUUUAUUUAUAAGGAAAAACUAACUUUGUUCCAAAAGUUGGGGUUUCUAGCUUUUCCAUAAAUAGAUAUUCACUAUAUAUGAUAAUACAUUCAUAACACCCUCUCUUGAAUGUCUAAUUGCUAAAUAAUGGUCCUCGUUAAAUCUUUACUAAAAAAUCCAGUGAAAGAAAUCUGGUGAAGGAAAAAGAGUACACAUCUCUAAUAAUACGCAUAUAGGCUGCCUCAUUAAAAAACUUACAAAGAAAACCCAUUUGUACAAAAUUUGGUAUGGAAAAAAGAGUACAACACGUAUUAACUUCCCCUAAUGAGAAUAUCCUUGCACCUUUACAUCUUGAUCUUGUGCACCAUCUGUAUGAAAGUUGCAGUUGGAAGAGAUUUGGAGAAUAAAUCAGCCACAGUUUCACUUGAAUGAAUCUAUUGCACAUUAAUAUCACCAUUCUUUUGGAGCUCAUGUGUAUAGAAAAUCUUUGGCGAAAUGUGCUUCGUUAUCUCCUUUAUUAAUCCUCUCUUAAGUUUUGCUCUGCAUGCUGCAUUAUCUUCAUAUAAAAUUAUGGGUACUUUUUCACAUUUCAAAUAAUAUUUUUCUCGAAUGAGAUGUAUCAUGACCUCAACCACACACACUCUCAACUUGCUUUAUGAAUAACUAUAAUCUCAGUAUGGUUCAAUAAGGUGGCUACGAUAGACUUCAUUGUAGAUCUCCAAGAUAUGACAGUACCUCCACAUAUGAACACAUAGCAUGUUUGAGACCAAACUUUAUGCGGGUAAGAUAAAUACCCAACAUCAACAUAACCAACAAGACCGGGACUGCAAUCUUUAGAACAAAAUAAGUUCAUAUCUUGAUAAUCCCUUUUAGGUACCAACAUAUGUUUGAUUCCAUUCCAAUGUCUCAUAGUAGAAGCAGAACUAUAUUUUGCUAACAAAUUAACCAAAAAGGUUAUAUCAUACCUUAUAGUAUUUGCAAUAUAUAUUAGUGCACCAAUUGCACUAAGAUAUGGUACUUCAUAAUCAAUCUAAUUGGUAUAUUUCUCAUUUUAGCAAAUAAUCUAUUGCUUUUGAAAACUUCUCCAAGAGUUCUAAUAAUUUUCAAAUUGUUAAUUUAUGUAAUAUAAGGAUUAUAAAUAAGUUUACCAGAAACUUUUAUAUGUUACAAACAUUUUGAGUCCUUAAAAAGUUUUCAUAUAAAUUUUGUCAAGCGACAAUAUUCAACAUUUCAUGUGUGACAUCUUCAAGUUCUGGAUUGCAAAUCAAAUAAGUUUUAUGCUUAUCAAGAUGCAUCAUUUCAUGAAACUUGAUAAUUAUUUCUACUUUAGCAUGUUUAAAUAAACAUAGAAUUCAGAUCCUCAUAAUAUUUUACAAUAUUGCGCCAACAUUGUAUCAAAGAUAUUAUCGAUGAUAUAUAAUUUUGUAUCAGUUCACAAUACGACAUAACAUUUUGAGAUCUUAUCACUUUAUUAUUUUCAGGUAUCUGAAUCUUUCAUAAGGUUGCAUGAAGUGUUAUGUCGUAGGCUCUUUAAAAUGCAUUGUCUCUUUAUUAUGAUCAUUUACUCCUUAUCUCUUUCAACGAUUAUUUCAUUUGAAAUCAAUUGGUCUACCACUCUUUACAUAUGCAUAGACUUUGUCCUUUAGGAACACACAAUAGGAGCAAUUGCAGCUUAAAUAUAAGAUUAAAUUUGAGUUAGCAAAUGCUUCCGGUAUUUGACUCAAACUAUCUUUUGAAUGAGGAACUAAUGUUAAUUUCUAACAUACUUCAUAGCUGCUUAUAAUCUCCCCCUUAUAUUUGGAAAACUAACAUACAUCCUUUAUCUUCUUUGAGAAAUCCAUCUUUGUGUAUCAUGGUAUAUUCACUAAUCAUAUACCGCACAUUAAAAUUAUUAGAUGGAAAAUAUGUAGUUUCUGAUCCUGAAUCAAUUUUGAGGGGGAAUUAACCACAAUUUAUUGAUUUGCUGUGUACACGUACUUUUGUGUAAAAUAUAUCAUUUUUCAAACCAACACAUAAAGUUUUGUUCUCAUAAGAAAUGAUUUAGCUAAUUUUCUGAAGGCAUUUAAUGCCAAACCAACUUGGAUAUUCAUCAAUCUGAAAAUUAUGCUUUUAACUCAAUUUAUAUUGAGCAAAUAUUUUUUAUGGAUGUCGAGCUGUAGUUUUACAAGAAACGCACAUGUGAUCAUCUUGUAUCGAUGCAUCUUAAUAUAUAUCAUAUGAUAGGUGAACGAGCUCUUAUUAACGUUUAAUACUUUCUAGAUUUAAGGUAUUCAAUCCUAAUAUUAAUUGGUCCAACCAACUUAUCAUGAGAACAAACGACAUGGAUAAUUCUUGAAGAAUCUUAUAAUUUUGUAUUACAUGUCCAAUACUCAAUAUGCACAUCUUUGAAAUGUCAUAAUCAUUCAUGUCAAUUUAUGAAUUUGUUGGUACUAGUAAACUCCAAGUUUACUAUGAUAUGUAAUUUUUUAUUUAGAAAAUUUCAGAUUUACUAUUACAUAAUAUAUUUUUGAAUUUACUACAUCAUAUGUAAAUUUUAGAAUAACUCCCCUCAAUUAUUCUGCCUCUUCCGGAGGUGAGUUGUGAUACCAUCACAAUCAAGUGCAUGUUUGUAUUGAUAAGCUUUACUAAAUAUUAUUACAUCACUUUAAGGAAUGAAUCUAUAUUUAAACAAUCGAAGUUCUCAUUUCCCGAGAAUAAAAUAUAAUUGUGCCUUAAACUUAUCAAAUUAUGAUAACUUAUAACCUCUUUUAAGAUGUUGCUACUUUAAGAAGAAAUCAAGGCAUACAUAUAAUGUAGAGAAAUUUUCUCUAACAUAUCUUAUGAUCAUAAUAAGCAUGUGAAAUAGUAUCACUUUUGAUAAAUAUUAUCAUAUUGUCCCUCCAUGCCCAUAUUCAUACACUCAAUCACUUGUCUUCUUUCAGACAUAUUGUGCAGUGCCACCACAUUCACUUCAGGAAUGAGGCAUAUUCAAUACGACAUGUUUCAUAACUUUUCAUGAAAUACAUAUUAUUUUUCCUUAACCAUCAUUAUAUCAUCAAUAGAGUGCAUUGAGAUUUAUACUUAACGUUUUAUCCAUAUAAAGAUGUCUUUGACAUAAAUCAAUUGGAUCUAACCACACACCAAAAUGGAUUAUCACCAAAUUCACAAAUCGAAUUAAUUAAUAUAUACUGAUUGAUCAGGUGAACCAUUUAAUUAGGUUUCUCACAUCAAGCAGAUCCAACAAUUUCUACUUCUAAUAGCAACCUGGUGAUAGCCAUGUACAUAUAUUGAUCUGCUCAUAUUUAAAGUCAAGUAAUUGAACUUGAGAGAUCCAAAAUAUGUAAACUAAUAAGAUAAAAACUUACUUGGCGUACAUAAAAAUGGUAUUUGACUUUUGGAUAUGGCAACGUCAAGUUUUGAAAACUUCAAUACUCUAUAAAAGUGAAUUUCAUCAUAUUACUUACCUCCUUCAUAAUAUUACUUACCUCGAGCAUAAAGCUAUGACACUAUUAACACUUGAUACUACCAACAAUAUUUUAUAAUCUCAAUUGGCUAGAGCCCCAUACUGAUAACGUGUUAUGAAAUAUAAAAUAAGAACAAAGAGAAUGGAGAGGGAAGAAAGAGUAGUUCUUAUUUUUUUUUUUUGAAGAAUUCUUGAGGGGUUUAAUUGCAAUGAAGGAAAACGCCUUUAUUUAUAAGAAAAAAACUAACUUUGUUCCAAAAGUUAGAAUUUCUAACUUUUUCAUAAAUAGACAUUCACUAUAUAUGGUAAUAUAUUCAUAACAAUGAAAAUAUUUUUUUCUAAAUAACUACUUAAAAUGUUGGCUUAAGUCAUCGAUAACCCCUUAAACUUGUUUCGAAAUUUCACUUGGACCUCUUACCUCAUACUUGUACCUAUUGAACCCGUAACUCACCCAAAAUUUGAACCAUUGAAUUUUUUUUUAUCAAUCAACUAAAAGCACAAAAUGUGUGCAACAAACUCUCGCUGACGUGGCAAAAAUGACGAAUUAAACUUGUACAUUUGACAUUAAAUCUAAAAAAUAAAUGGUAAGAAGAAAUAUAUGUAUAUAUAUAUAUAUAUGUAUGUAUGUAUGUAUGUAUAUGUAUAUGUAUAUGUAUAUAUUUUUUCACCAGAUCAUACAUGAACACACAGGGAUCACCAUAUGCAAAAAAUUUAUACUGGCAGCAAUGUGUAUACUAAAAUUCACCUUAAAAAAAUGUAAUUUUUAAUACAUUUGCAUUCACUUAAAUUGAAUUAACCUUAGAUCCACAUAACCGAUCAAAAACCUCAAAAAAAUUACACAAAAAAGGGGGACAAAAUCAGUUGAAUUCAAUUUUUUCAACCUUUAGAGAAUGAAUUUGCUCCGCCGUGUUGUUCCACCGGAAGCGGCAAUACAUAUACCAAUCUAGCCGUCACCAAUCCCCUCCUCCAAAUUUCAUCAAAAUUUCAAUUCCCCAAAUUUUCACACCAAUUUUGUCAAAAUUCUCGAAUUUUCCAAAUUCCCGUACCAAUUUCUUCAAAAUUCCAAUUUCAAAGAUUAUUUUUUAGCAAAUCUUAUCUAAUUUACCACACUUAUUUCAUCGUAAGUUCAAGACCCAAAAUAUAAAUUUAUAAUUUCUAUGAAGAUUGUAAAUAUUUGGUGUGGAGUGGUGGACUUGUAAUAGUGAAGUGGUGGCAGAGAUAACUGUAGUUUAUGAAGAGGACAAAGAGAAAAAAAAUAUUUACAAGAAUAUAAGAAAGAAGAGGAAGACAUUGGGGUGUGCAUCGAUCGGUUUGGUUCGGUUUUAUAUAUUAUCAGUUUGGUUUAUCGAUUUUUGAUUUUUAAAUAUGCUAAACCAAUACGAUAUUUUUUAUCGAUUUUCGGUUUAUCGGUUUUUAGUCCUUAACUGUUUGGUUUUCGAUUUAACCGAUAAGAAAAUACUCAUAAAAUAGAAAUAGUAGUAACUAACAUUAAAAAAAAUCGAAUCUUAGUAGCAACCAAAAAUCCAACAUAAUGUGUUUUAAUUUACAAGUAUCUUCACGUUUGAACUAAAUGUUAUUAGGAGAAAUUAAUAGUUUGUAUAAUUGAAACAAUAAGUUUGUUAAUUGGUAGAAAUUAAAGAGAAAUAUAUAAUAAGUCAUACAUAUAUAUAUAUAUAUAUAUAUUCUAUAAUAUAUUAAAAGUGUGAAAACCCUUAAAAAGUGAUUUAAAUUUUUUGCCCUUCUUUAAAAAUUCUCCUUUAGACAAAGUCGUCUUUUUACUUACGUUUUUUCUUAUAUUUAAAAUCCAACUAAAAUUAUAUAUAUUGUUAUAAAUGUAUUUACAUUAUAGUGAAUAUAUUCUUAUUGGGUUAUCGGUUUACCCAAUAGCCCAAUAAGAAAAAAAUUAAACCGAACCAAUAACCCAAUAUUUUUUUUAUAUAAAACCAUUAACAAACCGUUAACCCAAUAACAAUAAACCAAUAAUAUUUUUAUCGGUUUGAUUUAUUGGUCAUUUCGAUUUUGGCACACCCCUAGGAAGACAGGGCAGAGAGCUUUAGUUGAUUAUGAAGAGGAGAAAAACAUUAUUUAAAAAGAAAAUAAAAAAGAAAGAGGAAGAGAUUGAGGAAAAAAUUAAUGAAAAAGAUGUGACUUUUAUAUUUAAAUUUUGGCUUUUUUUUGUGGACAUGUCAAUUUUUUUAUUGGUUUGUCAAAAAAUCUGAAAUGCUUCAUGCACCCAGUGGCGGAUGUACAUGUAUUCCAGGGGGUUCAUCCGAACCCCCUAUGUUGGAAAAUUAUACUAUGUUUACAUGGUAAAAAAAAAAUUUAUGUAUAAAUAAUAGAGGCUGAACCCUCUUCAACUAGUCCGUAUAUGACUACUGAACCCCCUCACUGAAAAUUCUGGAUCCGCCACUGCAUGCACCUACCUUGAGUAAUUUUCACUCUAGGUGCCAUGUGGACAAAAAAGACUUAGGUGGUUCAAAUUUUGGGUGGGUUAGGUGUUCAAUAGGUACAAUUCUAAGGUGAAGGGUCCAAAUGAAAUUUCGAAACAAGUUCGAUGAGUUAAUUUAAGCCUAAAAUAUUUUACCCUAACUUUACCUUUCCUAAUUUGAAAGGUAUGAGGAAUAAGAUAAAGGAUACUUUGAGAAGAAUAUAGUUCUAUUUAAUCAAACACUUUCUACGUUUAUUUAGUUGGCCUUAAUAUUAAAUUUUUUUUCUUUUUGCUCUUUUCGUUCAUUAAUUUUUGCUUUCCCAUUAUAUUAGAAAUAGUUGGUCGACUUUUCUUGUUCGAUUUGUUAAACCAAGAGAUAAUUUAUCAUUUUAUAUUUAUUUGCCCAUGUUACUAAAUACAACAUUCAUUGCCAACAUUUAGAUUAUUUGUUUAAUGGGUGUAUCAAGUCAACAUGAGUUAAGUAGUAUUAAUCAGAUGGAGUAAUUGUUAUGAUUGACAUUAUAUGCUCUCUUUCCUCAAUACCUGUCAUAUGACUAGAAAUAGAUAUUUUAUAAGAAUAAAUUCUUUUGCCAUCGAAAUUUGACCCAAAUUAGGCCACAAUAGUGAAUAAAAAACAUAUUCACACUAUAAACUAGUUAUUUUUUUUAGAUAUUUUUACCUCUUUUAUCCUAAAUUUAAAAUUCUUACAUUACUUUAUUUAUUAUCAUUACCCAAUAAAUUAAAAACUAUCCCAAUAGAUGAGAUUAGACAAUUUAUGUAUUCUAUUUUUAAUUAUUUAAUUUUUUUAAAAGAAAAUUACAUUAUAAAAUAAUUGUCAAAUGUAAUAGUAUGUAAUUAAGAAAACAAAAAUUAGUCGGUACAAAUUUAUUUAUUAGUUGUUAGUUAUAAAAAAAAAUGUUUGAAGUAGUUUAAUUUUAGUUCAACUUUUAGUUAUAUAGUUUAUACUUUGUACAUUUUUGAAAUUUAAUUAAAUUAUUUUAUUUAUUUUUUAUCACGCGAGUUCGAUUCUAUGAGGGUUUCUUUUUAAUGAAUAUGAAAACUAAUGUGUGAAUACAGAGUUUUAAUAAUAACAUGUUUUGGCAUGCUUAAAAUUUUGUUACUUUACAUUUUUCUAUAGAUAGAUAUACUAAGAAAAAUUUGUCAUAGUUAAUGUGAAAUUUUUUAUGACUAAACAAUUUAACCAAAAUAUUUUUUCCGUUACAUACAUAGAAAUAGAUGUGGCUAAAAUUUAUUUACAAAUUUUACAUGGUUCAUAACCAAGAAUUUAUACUUAUUACUACAAAAUUCUAUUAUGUUAUAAACUAUAUCUAUAAAGAAAUAUUUAUGUUACAAGAAAUAUACGUAUGGUAAGUGAUUUUAUCCACGACAAAUAAUUGGUAUCUAUCUUCAUAUAAUUAACGACAAUUUGUAGAAUUUUGUUUAGAUCAAGUAUAUUAAUUAAUAAAAUAAUAAGAUCUAGUAAUAUACUUCCUCCGUUUAAAAAAGAAUGACCUACUUUUCUUUUUAGUCCGUUUAAAAAAGAAUGACCUCUUUUCUUUUUUGGCAAUACUUUAAUUUCAACUUUUCACAUGACAUGUUUAGUACCACAAGAUUGAAGGACAUUUUGGUACAUUUGACACAACUUUAAUUUAUGACCACAAGAUUCAAAAGUCUUCUUUAUUUUCUGAAACUUUGUACCAAGUCAAAGUAGGUCAUUCUUUUUGAAACGGAGGGAGUAUUUAUUCAAGUUAUAUUUGAAACUUAUAAAUAAGAUCCUAUAAAUUUUGAAUAGAACUGAAUAACAAACACCUCUAAUCAAAUGAUAAUUCUAAAACAAUUGAUCAGGAGUAAGCUUGAGUGAAACAUUAAAAUUUUGUUUAAAAUCUUUAUAAUUAGUUAUAAAGUUAAUAUAAUCAUUUAUUUUAAAAUUAUAUUUGAAACUUACAAGUUAUAGAAUUAAAUCGCAUCAUUGACAACACUUAUUACACUAGAUCGAUAAAAAUAUUAUUUUGAUAAAACAAGUCUAAAGUAAAAUUUAAUUCUUUUUAAAUUUAUCAUAAUUAGAUAAUAAAAAAAACUAAAUUUCGCCAUUUAUUUAUUUAGAUAUAAAUUAUUGUACAAAUACACUUCUGUGAUAACUAUGUUCAAUUAUUAAUCCUCGAUUCAACUAAUUAUAACUACAUUCAUAAUAAUUAUUGGUUAAUUUAAUUUAAUAGUAGACCUACAAGCAUGUUCAGAUAGAUGAGGUUCGAAACUUAUAAAAUAACAACUGUCAGAACACUUUAUCAAGAUAAAAUUUGAGUGAGACAUGAUAAAAUUUUGUUUCUCUUCAUUAUAAAUAGCAAAUUUAAAGUAUUUAUACUAUAAUUACUUAUAUUUAAAUUAUAUCUGAAAUUUACUAGUAAGACCUAUUAAGAUUGAAUCAAAUCAAAUUAUGUUAUAAUCACUUAUUUAUCUAAAAUAUAUUUCAAAUGUACUAGUAAAGUUCGGUAUAAUCAAAUCAAAUAAAAUGAUUAACACAUCUAAUUAUCUUAGAUCGAUGGUGUUUGAUUUUAUAAUAAAGAUUAUCCAAUCACUAUAUGGGCAUGCUAUAAUAUCUCCUUUUUUAGUUUUUAGUGUUGUUACAAUAAUUUUUCACUCAUGAUAAAAACAAUCAUUAACUACAAAUUCUAUCAAAAAUCAUUUCGUCAUAACAGAUAGUUAUGGAACUUGAAGCAAAAUUUAAUAAUUGCCAUAAUUUUUCAAAACUUGAAACAAAAAUACUUAUUUAGUUACAAUAUUUUGCUUGAAGUAAUUUAUUGUACCUAAAAAAGUUAGUAUUGUUGCAGUAAUUUUAUUAAGUUAGAGACAUGCCAAGAUAUACUUGUGUGAGAGCAUCCUUUUACUAACUGUUACAACUCCAAAAAUCGAUAGGUCAUGAUGACACUUGUCGCGGUGAACCUUGAUAAGUAAGCUUCUCACCCAAACUGAUACACACGAAAACAAGACAAAAAUGCCCCAAAGGUAAGGCUUCUAAAAUGAAGACGAACCACAUAUAUAUAAUAAAAGCUGAAAGAAUAAAAUCAACAUAUGCAACCAUAACUCUCAAAACGUGGUGUCAACAGUAUAAGAACUACCAAUACAAUUCCGGAGUCAAAUACAUCAGAAAAAUAACCAUAAAGAAAAAUAUCUAUCUCCGAACACUAAUAAAGACAUAACUAAUACAAAAAGAUAGAGGUGAACUCCGGACGCAUGAAUGUCCAAUUGCUACCUUGAAAAAUCUAAAAAUGCCCAAAAUCAACCAGUCAGAGGCGCACCGAAACCUAAAGCUACACCAAAAGGGUGAAGUAGGAGUGAGUGCGGUCUACUUAUACUUAGUAGGUAUCAUAGAUCGAUUGAGCAAAGUAGAAAAUAAUGAAUACAAAAUACACUCUAAAGGUACGUCACCUGCAAUCAGAAAAUAUCCCACAACGGUAGCCCACAUCACUUGCACUAACAGUUCUAAUAUAUCACAUAUAUUAGAACAACAAACCAAGAUAAAAUAAAAGCAUGCAUUAUAUCACAUAUAAGUAGAACAAGGAAAAACAUGUAGAUACAUGAUUAUGAAAUACAAGUAAAGGAAGGUAAGACCAAUACAUAGAUGACAAGUCAAUAUUGCAAUACAACACAACAUAAACUCAAUAAAGUAAGUGCAAUUUAUAUGGUGAUGAUGAUGAUGAUGCACGAGGUCGCCACACUACGUCUGAAAUCGUCAUACUAUCCCCGUAUACACCUACGGAGCAAGCCUCCCAAUGCUGGACCCAUGGGGAGUUUCAUCAACCCGUAUAAAGUCUACAUAUCUCCUAUAUCUUCCUUGGCACAUUUCUCUGGGAGGGUUUUAUAAGGUGUUACAAUAUCUCCUCUCCGGCACUUCCCUCGAAGAGGGUUUUAUAAAAGGCAUUGCCAGUGUUUCUCAGAUGUUGCCACAGUGGUACCAAUGUUUCAUGAAUGGGUAUGAUAUGAGGAUGUAAUGCUCACAAACAAUCACAAUGAGUAUUUUCACAAAAAAUCACAAUGAUAUAUUUUCACUACCAACCAUAAUUAUAUAUUUCCACAACCAUAUGAUCCAAUAUUCACUCAUUAUUUUCGUUUGAUCCAUGAAUUUUUCCAUGUCUCAUAUAACAAGUAUGAAUGUAUCACAAUACACCAAUGAUACCACAUUAGGCAUUUCAACAACCCAAUAAAAUUAUUCACGUAUAUUCAAGUCCAUCAAUGUCACAUAGAACCCCACACAGUCAUACAUAUCACAUAAUAUCUCAAUUUCAAUAAUUACAUUACAUAUAGGCCCCCACACGGGUACGACACAUAGAUAGCUAUUUUUUGAUGAUUAGUUUCCACCCUUAACAUGCAUUUUGUAUCAUCAUUUACUAUCUAGCCUAGUCUGAAAGAGUUAAGCCAAAAUCUACCCUGAAAGUCAAAACUUGUCCGCUACACUUCGUACCUACGAUCUUACUUUCCACGCACGAUCCCAAACUCCACGAAAAACAUCAAAUAUGGAAUUUAUGCAUCAAAAUAAAAUCAACGACACCCACAUUUUAGGAACCUACGGACUUUCGAAAUGAGUUCUUGAAAAAGAAGGGUAAAAUCGUAACUUUAAUUUAAAAAUGUGUUCCCCACAUUUUUAGGAACCUACAGCUAAAAACCCAAGUCAAAUUGAGUAAAAAAACGAGGUUCAAGUCAAAGAAAACCAUUUUUAAGUUUUACCAGAUAAAAUCUUUAAAAUUUGGGUUAAAAUCAAGAAUCAGAGCUGUUUUGAAAGUUAAAUUAAUGAAAAACUAGUAAUUAUAAAAUUAAAUAUUAUUCAAAUAAAAAGGAGUGAAAUUGGGGUUUAAAAUCAAGCGCUAAGAUUUUUGGGGUUUUGAGAAAUUAAUCAAGAAUUAGAGUAAGAAAGGAUGAAAUCUCACCUUAAAUUCGUAAUAGGAUCAAGAAAUAGGUGUUAAUCUAACUCCUCAAGCUCCCACAAGCUUCAUUUUUAAGCUCUCACACUAUUUUAGAGUUUAACUCUCAAAAGGAAAGGUGAAAGAAUGGAGAAAAUGGGCCAAAAAAGGGGGUUAAAAAAUUGAUCUGCUAUAGUGCAGAUUUUUCUAAGUCCAAACGGACUUCGACGGGGUGCCCGGAAUUCAUUCUGGUUCGAUAUAUGCAAACAAACUAUGUAACCACACUAAAUUCGAUGCUCCGGGCUCAAUGGUGAUAUCAAAUUUUGAAAAAAAAAAUAUUAUUUUUAUAAAGUUGACCCCCGAAACUCGAAAUCACAAUUUUUCAAAUUGAGGGUCGAAAUGAGAUUUAAAAGCCGUAAAAAAACACCAAACCUGUUACCACCCUAGAAUCAAAUUUUUGGAUCUGUCGGAAAAGUCAUAUUUUCCAUCUGAGGUUAUUUCAAUCAAAUGUGGAUACCACAUCCAUAUUUUAAAAUUUUCAACUUUCCGACCAACAGGUCAAUAUGAACUCGGGUGCACCGAGACCCGAAUCAAAGGUCUACCUAGCCUAAAAUUUAUAUUUCAAAGCUGCUGGCAUAGUUUGUCCAGCCAUUCGUCGUACGAAUCAAAAGAUAUAUACAUAAGUCCAAAAUAAGGCUCUCAAAGCCAUAAAAAAUCACAAUAUCACAUAAAUGGUACCAAAAUAUAUCAAAAACUGUGUCAAUCACAUCCACACCCUAAAAAUACCAUAGUGCAACUAUGAAAAGGAAUAAAAUAGUCAAAUCACAUAAAAUUAUAAAUUUCACAUCAUAAAAUUUUCAGGUCGUAACGUCAUCCACCACUAAAAAUCUAGUUCGUCCUCGAACUAAGGCAAAGACAUACAUGAAUCAAUGAAGAGCUAGGGAUAGUAACUACACAUAUCACACUCAACCUCCCAAGUAGCCUCAUCUACAGGUCGAUGUCGCCAUUGAACCUUAACCAUAUGGAUAACUCUAGAGCGCAACCGCCUAAAAUCCCUAGCCAAAAUGGAGAUUGGUUCCUUAACAAAAGACAACCACUCAUCUAACUGAAUUGAAUCCCCAUGAAUGACAUGAGACUUAUCAAGAAUAUACCAGCAAAGCAUAGAAACAUGAAAAACUAAAUGAACAACUAAUAGAUCAGGGGGUAAAACCAACUCAUAAGCCAUAUCACCAACAGUCUGAAGAAUCUCAAAUGAGCCAAUAUACCUAGGGCUAAGUUUUUCCCUCUUCUAAAACCUCAUCACACCUUUUAUGGAUGAAAAUCGAAGGAAGACACAAUCAUAAACACCAAAUCUCAAGGCACGAAGUCUAUGAUCAGCAUAGCACUUCUGCCUACUCUGAGCCACUCUAAGUCUAUCAUGAAUGACCCAGAACCUAUCUAAAGACUCAUAAAGCAAGUUUGUACCUCGAGGUCUCACCUAUGAAACAUCAAACCAACCCACUAGAGAGCGACAACACCUACUAUACAAUUCCUCGAAAGGAGCCAAGUCAAUACUGGACUGGUAGCUAUUGUUAUAUGCAAACUAUUUGAUACAAGUACAACUAGCUCAAGACCAUUCACACGUAGCCAAGCUCAGGAGUUACAAAAACUUCAAGUCAUAUUUAUACAAAUGGCCGUGUAUGAGUAUGUAAUUAAUUCAUCUAGGGGAUUUUAUGUUUUGAAGUAUGAAGAGGGGCUUUGAAGUGUAAGUUUAUUACACUCCAAAAAGUGUAGUAACACCUUUUUUUAAUUACACUCCAAAGCCACACAAGACAAAGGCUAGAAUGGUCAUUUUCCUUUUAUUUUGUGGAGUACUAUAAAUAGACAAUAUUAGGGCUAUUUCUUGAACUUAGUUCAUUAUUGAUAUUUUUACUAUACAAGUCUUGUAAUAUCUGAGAACUUCUCUCUCUUGUUCUUGAGAGUGAACCCAAAACUAGACAACAAAGUGUAGUAACACUUUUGUUGUUCUUUGGCUAGAAACUUGGGGUCUUGAGGGUCAUGAGUUCCUCUUGAUUCAAUUAAGAAUUUGUGUAAAUAUCUUUUAGUCUUAGGGUCCUAAUCUUCAUGUUAGGGUUCUUAGAUUUUAGGAUAUUUUGUGUCAAAUUACUAUCCAUCAUUUUGUAAUCUUGUUGUUUGUAUCUUGAUAUAGUGAAGCCGUGUGGGGCUCUUUCGAUUCACUAUAGUUAUUGCAAUCUUGUGUUAUUUAUCUAUCUUGUUGAAAAUUGUUGUUGUUGACUUGAAAACCUAGAGAAGCCGAAUGGGACCUUUGAUUCUCUAGUGAUGUUGUUCUUGUUAUUCUCUUGAUUCCUUAUUGUGAGUUUGAACUUGUAUCACUCUUAUAAAGCCAAAUGUUGCUCUCACUGGCCACCAAAAUCCAUCACGCAUGUGCAAAGCAUAUUCUAUAAAACAUGGAUAGUCCGCUCUAAUUGGCCAUCAGUCUGGGGGUGAAACGUUGUACUAAGAUCCACCCGAGUACCCAACUCAUCCUGAAAAGUCUUUCAAAAGUGGGAUGUGAACACAUGACCUCGAUCUGAAAUAAUGGACAUCAACACACCAUAAAGAUACACAAUCUCACGAAUGUAGAUACGUGCCAACCUCUUAAUAUUGAAUGAGACCAUCUGACUUGGUCAAUGAUCCAUAAUGACCUACCUAAACAUUGUCAGAACAAUGAGAUGUAUAAGACAAACCAGUCACAAAGUCCAUAGUGAUCCGUUCUCACUUUCACUCGGGUACAUGCAACCUUUAAAGCAAUCUACCAGAUCUCAUAUGCUCGGUCUUUACCUACUGAAAACAUAGGAAAUGAGCCACAAAAUCCUCUAUAUCUCACUUUAUACCAUCCUACUAGUAGUGUUGUCUUAAAUCAUGAUAUAUCUUAGUCACAGCUAUAUGGAUGGAAUAUCUGAAAUAAUAGGUCUCCUCCAAGAACAACCUAAUCCAAUCACCUACUCUCAGCACACAAACUCAGCCCCCAAUCCUGAAAACUCUAUUUGAAUCAAGUGAGGCUUCAUUAGACUCCCCACUCAACACCUUAUCUAGAAUCAACCUCAAUCCAACAUCAUCAAACCAAUGAGCUUGAAUUUGCUCCAUCAAAGAAGAUCUAGCCUCCACAAAUUCCAAAACAUGCCAGGUGUCGAAAUGUCAAACCUAAAUAUCUGGUUAGCUAAAGACCAAACCUCUAAGGCCAUAGGCCUCUCCUAGGUCAAAAGAUGUUCCAAGAUACCAAUGCUAGUUGACUUCCGACUCAAGGCAUCCGCAACCACAUUAGCCUUGCCCGGAUGGUAGAGAACACUUAAGUCAUAGUCCUUAAGUUAAUCAAUCCAAUGAUGCUUCCUCAUAUUAAUAUCUCACUGGGUAAAGAAGUAUUGAAGUCUACGAUGAUCUAAGAAGAUCUUACAACAAACUCCAUACAAAUAUUUCCUCCAUAAUUUCAAGGAAAAUAUGACUUUGCACAACUCCAAAUCAUGGGUAGGAUAAUUCCUAUCAUGAGGCUUCAACUGACGAGAUGCAUAAGAAAACACCUUGCCCUUCUGCAUCAACACAACACCUAACCCAAUACCUGAAGCAUCACAAAAGAUGAUAAAACUUACUCCCUCUCUGGGCAAAGUCAAGAUAGGAGCUAAAGUCAACAAAUCCUUGAGCUUUUGAAAGCUCGCCUCACAAGCAUCAAAUUAUUGAAAAGAAAUCUUCUUCUAGAUCAACUUGGUUAAUAAAGCUACAAUGGAUGAAAAACAUUUAACAAAACGCUGAUAAUGACCUGCUAACCCAAUAAAACUUUGAAUCUCGAUGGCUGAAGUAGGUCUAGCCCAAUCACGAACUACUAUAACCUUGGUUGAAUCAAUCAUAAUAUCUUCCUUAGUCACCAUAUAAACCAAGAAAGAAACAGACUCCAACCAAAACUCGUACUUAGAGAACUUAGCGUACAACUUCUCAUCCCUCAAUCUCUGAAGUGUAAUCCGCAAAUACUCGUCAUGCUCAACCUUACUCUUGGAAUAAACCAAGAUAUCAUCUUUAAAUACAAUAACAAAAGAGUUAAGAUACGAUCAAAACACCUAAUUCAUCAGCUCCAUGAGCACAGCAAGGGCAUUGGUGCCGAAGAACAUGACCAAGAACUCAUAAUGACCAUAUCGAGUCUAAAAUAUUAUCUUUAGAGUAUUCAAAGCUCUAAUCUUUAAUUAGUGAUAACCGAACCUUAAAUCAAUCUUCAAAAAUACCACAACACUCUGAAGCUGAUCAAAAAAAUCAUCAAUGAGAGGAAAAGGAUACUUAUUCUUAACUGUCACCUUAUUCAACUAAUGAUAAUCAAUACACAUUGCAUAGACCCAUUCUUUUAUUUCACAAAUAAGACAGGCGCACCCCAAGGUGAAGCACUAAGUCAAAUAAAUCCCUUAUCUAAUAACUUUUACAAUUGAUCUUUUAAUUUUUUCAACUCUGUUCGGGUCGCCCUAUAAAGAGGAAUAUAAAUGGGCUUGGUUCCCAACUCAAUAUUAAUAGAAAAAUCAAUAUCUUGAUCCGAAUAUUUACUAGGGAAGUCCGUAGGGAACACAUCCAUAAACUCACAAACAACACAUACAGAAUCCAAGGAAGGAGGCAAAACAAAAUUGGUGUCACGAAUAUGAGUCAAGUAAGAUAAACAUCCCCUCUCACCCAAUUUAUGAGCCUGAACAUAAGAUAUAAUCCUCUUAGGAUACGAAUAAAAUUCACCCUUUCAAGCUAUCCCUAGAACACCCAAUGAAGAUAAAGUCAUAGUAUUAGCAAAAUAAUCUAACACAGCAUGAUAAGAAUCCAACUAAUCCAUAUCCAAUAAAAUAUAAAGAUCAAUCAUAUCUAACACAAUCAAGUUUACCAAAGUCUCAGGCCCAGUAAAAGUCACAACACAAAAUUGAUGCACCCAAUCCACCACUAAAGAAUCACCUACCGGGAUAGAUACACGAAUAGGCAUGACAAGAGGCUCACUUACAGAGUCAAAACCCAAAGAAAAAUACACAGACACAUAGGAAAAAGUUGAUCUGGGAUCAAAUAAUACAGAUGCAGGUUUGAAAUAAACGGGGUCGAUACCUAUAAUCUUAAUAUCUAAAGUUUUUGCCUCGGGUUUAUCUGGUAUAGCCUAGCACUAACCACGACCACCAACUGCCUAGGCGGAUUCAUGACCACCAACUACCUGAUUGACCCCACAAUCACCCCCACGAGCUCUACUACCUCUGCCUCUCGUACCUCUGAUAGCACCCUUACCCCUCACAGCUGGAAUAAAAGUAGCUCAAAUAACCCAGCGGGGAUAGUCCCUAGCCACAUGGCCAAUAUCAUCACACACAUAGCAACCUAUACGACUUGUCUCAACAGGAAAAGGUACAACUGGGCCCAAACAGCCACCCUGAACUACUGAACUAGAAGACCCACCACUUGAACUCUAUAAAGCUACCUACACUGGCCUACCAUGGUAUCCAUGAGAACCUUUAAAAUCUCUACCUUGAGAGGUCUGACUCCUUAACUCACUAAAAUAUUGCGCCUUCUUGGCUCUCUGAGAUGCACUAAGAAUACCUUUGAUCAUCUUACCAUGAUCUAAAAUACUCAGGAAAGAAGCCCUACGCACAAUUAUCUGAGAUGCAGCCAACUGAAGGGAGACAUCCAAACCCUUUACAAAUUUCUGAAUCUUCUUAGACUCGGUGAAAAUGCUAUCAUGGGAAUAUCUGGGUAGGGAAUAAAAAUAUUCCUCAUACUCAGCAACUGUCAUGAAACCUUGAUCUAAAUAAUCAAACUCAUCUCACAUACGAUCUCUCAAAUUGAAAGGCACGAAUCUCUCUAGAAAAGCCUCGACCAACUAAUCCUAAGUCAUCUCAGGAGAAUCAUGAGGUCUACAGCUGACAAACGACCUCUAUCAAUCUUUCACUACAUCUUUCUAAAGUGUAUAAGCAACUCUAUGAGACUCGAGCUAUCCCAAAUUAUGCAACUUUUCUCAGCAAUCAAUCAGAAACUCGUAAGCAUCCUCGCCUACUGCGCCAUCAAAUCUAGGAGGACCCAAUCGAUAAACCUCUUCUGAUCCUAGGAAGACAUCGCUGUACUAGCCAAGAGAGGAGGUAUAGUAAAUCUAAUAGGCUGUGAUCCAAUCUAGAGAGGUAUAUAUAUGAUGUCUGGACUGUUGCUAUCAAAACCCUAUAGUCAGAUGUCGAUAUGAAUGUGGAAUAAAACUCGGGGUCUGAGGAGUACCCAAACUAGAAACAGGUGUAACAGCAGGAUCCAUACUCUAAACUGGAGGAAUACCCAGCAUAACUAAAAGAGAACCCUUUAAAUGGGUCAGUAAAUGCACUAACAAUCCCUCUAACGCUGGGGCAGAUGAACUAUAAAGAACUAGAGCAGGACCUAUACCUCCAACCUGCUUAACAUGAGGCUCAAGGGAGAGUCCUAUAGCACUCUUCCUAGAUGGGGCUGAACUAUGGGGGCAUCCCCUCCCCCGAGUCCUUCCACGACUCGAGUCUUGCUUUUUGGGUGAAGGCUCUGCAUCAAAGUCCCGCGGGACCUAGUCAACAAUAUUUGUGCAAAAAGAGUGAAGCCUAAUUCAAAAUACAAGAUAUGAAAGAACUUUGCAUGGUACGGAAUAAAAAUAAGAGAAGUUUCCUAAAGAUAUCCUAAAGCCUCUCAAAGAUAGAUACGACCGUAUACGUAUCGAUCCGCGAGACUCUAUUAAACAUCCCAUUCUUACACCAUUGAGACCAAUGAAACCUAGUUGCUUUGAUACCAAUUUUUUACAACCCUAAAAAUCGACAGGUUAUGAUGUCACUUGUCGCGACAAACCUUUGCAAGUAAGCCUCUCACCCAAACUAAUAUACACAGGGAUAACAUAGAAAUUCCCCUAAGGUAAGGAUUCUGGAAUAAAGCCAAACCACAUAGAUAUAAUAAAAGCAGGAAGAAUAAAAUCAACACAUGCAGCCAAAACUCCCAAAAGUUGGUGUCAGCAGUAUAAGAACUACUAAUACAAUCUCAGAGUUAAAUACAUCAGAAAAAUAACUACAAAGAAAAUAUAUGUCUCCAAACACUAAUAAAGACAUAAAUAAUACAGAAAGAUAGAUGUGAACUCUGAACUUAUGAAUAUCCAACUGCUACCUUGAGAAAUCUGAAGGCGCCUGAAAUCAACUAGUCUGAGGUGCACCCGAACCUAAAACUGCACCAAAAGGGUGAAGUAGGAGUGAGUACGAUCCACAUGUACUCAGUAGGUAUGAUAGGACUAUGGAGCAAAGUAUAAAAUAAAGCAUACAAAAUACACACUUAGAGCAGGUCAUCUGCAAUCUGAAAAUAUCCCACAACGAUAGCCCAUACCGCUUGCACUAAUAGUUCUAAUAUAUCAUAUAUAUUAAAACAAAACACCAAGAUGGAGCAUAAAUAUGCAUUAUUUCACAUAUAAGUAGAAUAAGAGAGAACAUAUAGAUACAAGAUCAUCAAUACAAGUAAAGGAAGGUAAGAAAAAUGCAUAGAUGACAAGUCAAUAUGGCAAUACAAUACAAUAUAAACACAAUAACGUAAAUGCAAUGUAUAUGGUGAUGAUGAUGAUGAUGCACGAGGUCAUUGCACAACCUCUGGGAUUGUCACACAGUUCCCAUUACACCUACGGAGGCAAGCCUCCCAACACAGGACCCAUGAGGGGUUCGUCAACCCGUAUAUAAUCAAUGUAUCUCAUAUAUCCUUCCCCGUAUAUCCCUCAAGGAGGGUUUUAGAAGGUGUUAUAAUAUCUUCUCUCCAAUAUUUCCCUCGGUGAGGGUUUUAUAAAAGGUGUUACCAGUGUUUCUCAGAUGUCACCACUGUGGUAUCAAUGUUUCAUGAAUGAGUAUGAUAUGAGGAUGUAAUGCUCACAUACAAUCAUAAUGAGUAUUUUCACAACCAAUCACAAUGAUAUAUUUCUAUAACCAACUAUAAUUAUACAUUUCCACAACCACAUGAGCCAAUAUUCACUCAUUAUUUCUGUUUAAUCCAUGAAUUUUCAUGUCUCUUAUAACAAGAAGUAUGAAUAUAUCACAAUAUACCAGUGGUACCACCUAAGGCAUUUCAACAACACAAUAUAAUUAUUCACAUAUAUUCAAGGCUGUCAACAUAACAUAGAACCCCACAUGGUCACAUAUAUCACAUAAUAUCUUAAUUUCAACAAUUUCAUUACAUAUAGGCCCCCACACGGGAACAACACAUAGAUAGCGAUUAUCAUAAUUAGUUUUCACCCUUAACAUGCAUUUUGUAUCAUCAUUUACUACCCAGCCCAGCCUAAAAGAGUUAAGCCAUAACCUACCUCAAAAGACAAAACCGAUCCGCUACACUUCGUACCUAUCACGUUACUUUCCAUAAAUGAUCUCAAAAUCCACUAAAAACAUCAAAUAUGGAAUUUAUGCAUCAAAAUAAAAUCAACGACAUGCACAUAGACUAUUUAUUAUUUGGAGUCAAACUGGACUUUCGAAAUAAGCUUUCAAAAAAGAAGGAAAAAAUCAUAACUUUACUUCAAAAACGUGUUUUCCUUAUUUUUAAGAACCUACAAAUGAAAAUCCAAGCCAAAUCAAGUAAAAAAAAUGAGGUUCAAAUUGAAGAAAAACCAUCUUUAAGAUUUAUCGGGUAAAAUCUUUUAAAUUUAAAUUAAAAUCAAGAAUCAGAGUUGCUUUGAAGGUUAAAUUGAUGAAAACUAGUAAUUAAGAGAUUAAAAUAAUAUUCAAGUGAAAAGGAGUGAAAUUGAGAUUUGAGUUCAAGUUCUAAGAUUUUUGAAGUUGAGACACUAAUCAAGAAUUAAAGUAAGAAAGGAUGAAAUUCCACCUUAAAUCCGUAAUAGGAACAAGAAAUAGAUGUUAAUCUAGUUUUUCAAACUCCCACAACUUCAUUUUUAAGCUCUGAUACUAUUUUAGGAUUUAACUCUCAAGAGGCAAGGUGAAAGAAUGGACAAAAAUGGUCCAAAAAAGGGGGUAAAAAGCUGUUAUAUAUUGUAAAUUUUUCUAAUUGCAAAAGAACUACGACGGGGUGUCCGAAAUUCAUUCGGAGUCCGAUAUAUGCAAACAAACUAUGUAACCACACUAAAUCUGAUGCUCCAAACUCAAUGAAGAUAUCAGAUUUUUGAAAAAAAAAAAAAUUUUCACAAAGUUGAUUCUCGAAACUCGAAAUCACAAUUUUCCAAAUUGAGGAUCGAAAUGAGAUUUAAAAGCCGCAAAAUAAACCAAACAUGUUACUACCCUAAAAUUAAAAUUUCAAAUCUGCUGGUGAAGUCAUAUUUUCAUCCAAGGUCGUUUCAACCAAAUAUGGGUCCUACACCCAUAUUUCUAAUUUUUUAACUUUCCGACCAAUCAAUCGAAAUAAGCUCAGAUGCACCUGGACCCAAAUCAAGGAUUUACCUAGCCUAAAAUUAAUAUUUUGAAUCUUUUGAUGUAGUCCGUUCAGCCAUCCAUCGUAUGGAUCAAAAGAUAGCGACAUACACUACAAAAAAAAGGCUCAAUUUAUGGAGGUUAUUUUGUCAAUUUGUGGAGGUUUAUGGCCCCCAUAAAUUGAAUUGCGGCAACUUUAAAAAAUGCCACAAUUAGCCUUGCCCGGAGUAUAUUUACGACGAUUCUAAUAGACCUCCAUGACACUCGCCACAAUAUGACUUUUAAAUUUGUGGAGGUUUUCAAUAUCAAUUUGUGACAAUUUAGAACCUUCACAAUAUGAUCUCAAUAUUUUAAAAAUUAGAUUUGUGUGAGUUUAUAAUUAUCGUGAUGUGAGAUUAAUAUUUGUAUAUUUUGAUUUAUGAAGACUUACAACUGCCACAAAGUAUCAUUUUUCAAAAUAAAAAAAAUAUAAAAUUUGAUUUACAUCAAAUUUUCAAAAUAAUAGGAAUCAAUAAUUUUACUAACUAAUACAUUCAACAUAAAUUAUUCAUCAAACGAAGCCAUAUUAAUUAUAAGCUUCACAAGUCUAAAUUCAUGUUAGAUUGAAGUAAUGCAAACUUAUGUAUAAUAGCUUGAAUAUUACAAUUUUAAAAUUUUAAGAAUCUACAAAGUUCCAGAUCAAAUAAACAUUAAAAAUCUAUGCAUUUCUUUGUUGAUUUAAGUUGUAUACUUGUAGUCAUUCAAUCCUUUGUUUAUGAUGAAGUGAGCUCAAUAUCUACAUUUAACUGAAACAAUGAAAAUUUUAUAAAUGAUUAGAUAAACAUAUAUUAAUGUACAUAUAUUUUUGUACAUUUUGAUAAAAAAAGGUACAACAUUCAUCUCAAACACAAGUUCAUAUAUAACUUCACAAUUGACACGCACACACACACAUAUAAAAGAUUAUAGAUGAAAGAAAAUUACUUUAAUAAUGAUCAAACAUUAAAUAGUGAUUGAAAAAUUGUAUAAUAUUCACAAAAAAUUAUAAAAAAAUUGCAUAUUUCCACAAAGAAUAACUGAUAUCAACUGAUCGAUUGAAAAUAUGGAAAGAACAUAGAUAUUUAAAAAGAGAGUAAAAAGGACAUAAACAUUACUUAAGUUCAAGUGACAAAAAAUUACCUUUAUAUUCACAAAACUAUUAUUUAACAUCCACCCCGUCUUAUUGAACCUGCAAAAAAAUAAAAUAAUUAUCAAAAAUAUCAUAAAAAAACUAAAUUGACCCAAUAUAUGAGAUAAGGAUAAGUGAUAUUUAUCCUGCAUGUGUAGGCAAAAAAAAAAGAGAUGAGACAUGAAAGGUUAGAAAGGAAGGGAGAGGAAUGAGGGAAACAAAGAUGUGGGAUUUGGUACUUGUACGUGGGAAGGGAGUGAGUUAUUAUAAAAGCUUUUAAUUUUUUUUUGAGAAAAAUUUUGAUCUAUAAAAAUUUUUAAUUUCUUUAUUUUUCUUUUAGAGGAAUAGAUAUUAGGAUUUUGAUUGGGUUUGGGUUCAAAUGCAAAAUGUGAAAAAAUUGUUUUGGUGCAUAGAAUAAAAUUUACUAGUAACUAUUAGUUAAAAUAUUUUACCUUAAAAAUAAUUAUUAUAUGAGCAUAAAUAAAGUUAAAAUGCAUAUAAAACAAAUAUAAUGAAUAUUACUAUUGAUUUGGCAUCUAAUUUUUAUUUUAAAAAGUAUAUAUAAGCUUUGAUAGUUAUGAAAUUUAAAUUAUUAUGUGAUGGGGCAACCAAUAUCACCAAUUUGCAAAAAUAUCUAAUACAAAGAAGUAACGUAUAAAAUAUAAGAUUGAAAUGAAAUUGGGUAUACAAAGUAAAAAAUAUAUAUUCAGAGAGUAUCUUAAUAGUUAAGAAAAAUAGAGGAUAAAACAAUGACAAUCCUAUUAAAAUGAAGGAGGAGAAGAGUGCGCAUUUAUUUAUAUAUAAUGAGUUAACUAUCAAUGAUAGUUAAAAUAUACCAUAUAAUUUGAAUAUAAUAAAAUAAAAAACAUAAAAUGGAUAUAAUUUUAAAAGUAACAAAUUUUAAUAAAUUUGUGGUAGUCAUUAUUCGCCAUAAUUUAUAUUGAACCGUGGCAAUUUUCUAACCUCUAUAGUAAAAUUGCCAAAAACAAAAAUUAUACUGUGGAGGCUAGAACAAGACGUCACAAAAUGAAUUAUUAGUGGGAUUUCUUUAAACUUUCACAAAUAAGCUACUACAAAUUGCCAAUCUUUUUGUAGUGAUAAGUUCAAAAUAAGGCUCUCAAAGCCAUUAAAAAUAAUAAUAUCGCAUAAAUAGUAAUAAAAUAUAUCAAAAAUUGUGUCAAUCACCCUCACACCAUAGUGUAAUACCCCGUACCUUUUCCUAGCUUGAAAUCAUCAAAAAAAUGUUAGGAACUUUCUUUAAUACAUAUAUCUUCAUUUCAUGUUAAGUACCCGAAACAUUACUUGUGUGCCUAGAGCCAUGUCAUGUUUUCACUAUACUCUCAGUCAAUCUAUUAAUUCUUAGACUUCAGAUAGUCUUAUGACUCAGGAAAUCUCCAUGAUCUCAUAAACUCAAUCAGUUGUCAGAUAUCAGUAGUAUUUCAUCAUUAACGAAAUUCAUUAACUUAGCCCUUGUUCAGUUCAGUAAAUCAUGUUCAGAGUCUAUUCAUAUGGGAGUGAGAAUUAUCACCGAGUGAACCCACAGAUGGGAACACACACUAUUAUAUGAGGGUGUGAUUCUUAGAAGUCAUCCUUGCGAUCUAGAACUAUGUAGCCAGCAUAGGUUGAGACAUCAACAUUAUUCGAUAAGGGUUGCUGAGGUGGAUAAGCACUGUAAGAUAAGGGCCCUACCAUUAUCUUUUAAGGAUACUAAGUCAGAUGAUGGUCACCCACGGCUUGUACUUACCAGUGGUGCAGUAUUGACACCCUUCAAAUUGGGGUUACAAAUUAGACCCCAACUCAGCUAUAAUGCCAUAUUAGGGGCAUGUCGAUUAGAUAACUACUUUUCAUAGUUUCAUGUUACAGAAUCAGGACUGUUAGACACAUUCAAUCAGUCUCAGUAAUAGAACUCAGAUAGUUCUUUAGAUUUCAGGGUUGUCAGAUACAAUCAACUUAGAUACAAUACGGGACUCAGCUAGUUCUGUUAGAUUCAGGACUGUCAGAUACAGUCACUCACGUUAUCAGUUAUAUCAGUUAUCAGUAUGUCAUUUAUCAGUAUUCAGAUCCAGUAAUCAUGUUAUCACGGUAUCAGUGUCAGUUAUUAUGUCUCAUGCAUGUAUUCUCACGCUCAUGAUAUUCAGUCUGCUAUUGUUAUUGUACAUGCAUAUGAAUGCCAUGCAUCCAGCCUACCUCACAUGCAUACCAAUACAUUCAAAGUAUUAGCGCAUUUGUGCUAUGGUGUAUUAUACCAUAGGUUCAGAGACACGAGCUCCAGAGCAUCAGUAGAUUCCAGUCUCAGCUGUUAGAGUUAGCAGUGAGUCCUCAUCUUUCGAGGACAUGAUCAUUAUUUUUUUAUCUCAUUAAUUAGUUUACUAGUUGGAGUUAGUUGGGGAUAUGUCCCAUCAACUCCUUAUUCAGACAAUCAUAUUUUAGACGCUUAACAAACUACAGUAUGUUCAGAUAAUCUAUUUCAAUUUUGUUUUGGGUAUUUCAUACCCCUCCCAGAUGUUACAUUUUUAUCAGAUACUAUGUCACAGUUUUAAACCUUAUGGACUUUCAGUUCAUGUUUCCGCAUUAUAAAGUAUUUUAUGUAGUAUACAGGUACAAAUAUCAGUCAUGGGUUAGCUUGUGGUCCUUUGGGGUCAUGAGCAUCGUAUAGUGUUCUGGGUAUCAGAUUUAGGGCGUUACACACAGAAAUGCCAUAAUACAAAUAAGGAGAGAGAUAAAAUAGUCACAUCACACAAAAUCACAAAUUUUACAUGUUUCAUGAAAUUUUCAGAUUGUUACACUAACAAAAGGAUAAGAAUAAAUUUCACUAUUCAAGCAAUUAAUGAUUCAUGUAUAUAAUUUUUCUCUACCACUUUUUCUCCUCCUUUGUUUUCUUUUUAAAAUUAUUAUGAAAUUGAACUCAUAUUUUUGAUAAUUAAUUAAUUCUUAUUUUUAUAUUUAUAAUUUACUAAAAAUGAUUGAGAUGUGUGAAAAUUGUGGAACUACACUGAAUACGUUGUAGACGAAAAUUAAAAAGAUUGCAAAAUUGAAUAACUGAAAUCAAAGAUAGGUAAAAUUUAUCGAUGAUCACCUAACACUGAGUCAAUCACACAAAAUAUUGGUUUCAGUUCUUUUACCAUAAAAUUCAUUUAGAUUUAAAAUUAAUAUACAAAAGUUAUUUUUCUAUUUUAUGACAUAAAAGUAUCCCAUUUUUAAAGUUUAGUACACAAAAUUAUUUUGUUUAUUUUUUCAAAAGGUCUUUACAAAAUUUACUAUACAAAUAUAUAUUAGUGCAGAAAAUAGUCAAAGCACAUUUUCUUCAGUAUUAAUAAUAUCAAAUUAAAACUAUUAUAUAAAGAAAUCAAGCUAAGGAACGCAAGUAUAUCUUAAGGAAUUAUUACUUUUUAUAUAAUAAGUUAGUCUUACAAUUUGAUAAAAAAAACAAAAGAAAAAGAAUGAGCUAGAAAAUCAAGGGAACCAAAAAUAGUGAAUUGAGGAGAAAGAGGGGGCUUUGAGCUAAAAGUGACAAAAGAGUUUGAAAAUGAGGUGUAGGUGACACAAGUUUUAAUAACUGAAUGUAUGUGACAAUUACUUUAUUAUUGAUUAAGAAAGUUGGGUAAGUUUGAGAAUAUCCCACAAGUUUUUUGAAAUUUACACUUUAAUCCAAAUAUUUACCUAAUAUAAUGAAAAAUGGAGGAAAAAAAGGUGUUUCUCUCUAUUCUCAUCCAUUGUUGUUUUUUCUCUCUUAGCGAUUUUUGUUGUUUAUUGUUGCUGCUUCUUUAUUCAUCAUCUUCCGCUUCUUCAUUUUCAUCAUCUUCAUCUUCUUCUUGUUGACCAUUAUUAUUGUUGUUGUUACCGCUACUGUUGCUAUUUGACCAAUUUUUUUGGGUCAAAUUUUAUUUCGUACAUCACUUUCCACUUUGGCAUUAUUUCACAGGAGACUUUGGUAAGUCAAAUUAUGAUUUUUAGUUGAAUUUGUCAUCUGGGUAACUGCUAUUGUGCUGCUUUUUCAGCAAUAGAUAGCACGCGAACAUGAAUGCAACAUAAGAGCCAUCUGUUUAAACAGAUAUAUUUCAACGAAAGACUCAUAUAUUGGAUUCAUGUUUAUGGUUCUAUAGUGACAUAACAUGAAUCGAACAGAUGGUUCAUCUGUUGCAACAUAUGACCCAUCUAUUGCAAAAGAUUAGUUAUCUGGUGCAACAUGAUAAAUAUCUGUUACAACAGAUUAGUAACCUGUUGAAACAGAACCUGAACUCAAUUUCAACAAACGUAUCGUCGGUUGCAAUAGGGUAAAUAUCUAUUGCAAUAGAUUAGUAACCUGUUGUAACAGAGCCUGAACUCAAUUCUAAUAGAUGGUAAAUAUUUGUCGCAAUAUAUUAGUUACCUGUUGCGAUAAAACCUGACCUUGAUUCCAACAGACGAAUCGUCUGUUGCAAUAGGUAAGUCAUUUAUCGCAAUAGGUUAAUUAUCUAUUGUAACAUGUCACUCAUCUAUUGAAUUAGCUUCAAAGGUGCCUUAGUACUGUAACAUCUAUUCCAACAGGAGCUUCAUCUAUUGUAAUAGAUAUAUAGUCUAUUACAACAUAUGAUUCACCUGUUACAACAGAUGACUCGUAUGUUCAAAUCUGCUUUUGGAGCAUAACAUGCAUCCCAACAGGUAAGUAAUCUGUUACGACUGAUCACUUACUUGUUGCAAUAGAUUACACAUAUAUUGGGAUUCAUAUACGACACUAUGAAAUCACCAUUAACCAUUUUUUACCAAAUGACUUUAUUUAGGUACCACUAAUGAAGGAAUCAAUAAAAAUAGGGGUGGAUUGUCACGAUCAAUGGAUUGAGAAGAGCAAUCGAUAUGUAUGGCAUUGGAAGGAGGGUAAAAUGCUAGAGACGAUAGCUAUGACAGUCCAAUGUGAUGUUUUGUAUGAUGAUUUUGUGUACUUAAUCAUAAGUUAUUAUGGACUGAAUUAUCAAUCAGAAGAACUCAUCAUCAGCUACAUGCACAGCUCCUUUGAAAAUCAGACGGUACUACCUUUCAGUAUAACCGAUCAGGUUCGAUUGCGUGCUUAUCUUAAUGAUUCAUCCAGGCUGGUAUUAAGGGUGUACGUGGUUGAAAAGAUGAGAGAGAAUGAGAACUAGAACAUAGAAGAAGAAUAACAAUAAGACAUCUUUGAUGAUAGGUUAGAUGAUCUAGACAUGAAUAUUCCAGAUGAUGAUCAAACACCUAUGCCUGUUGAUACGACCAAUAUGGUAGGCAGUUCAUCUCGAUCGACACAAUCUGGCAAUCUUCAAGAUGACAGAACCGGCUUUUUCAAUGGAAUGUCAUUCAAGGACAAGAAAGAAAUAUCUACCACUUUGUUUAUUUCUUGCUUGAAAAAAGAUUUUAGGAUAAAGAAGGUGAUUAAUUCAAGCAGUGUAUUUAGCUACAAAUGUGCUAAUCCGAACAGAAAAUGGUGGUUGCGAGCGGUGAAGUACAUAAGUUUUGACAGAUUCGUCAUUCAUAAACAUGAAAAGUAUCAUACAUAUGGUUCGAAUCAUAUCUUGGGCGAAAAUCCUCAUGCCACAACAAAGGUCCUCGGUGAAUAUUUCAAGAGUAGUUUCCCCGACGACAAAGGCCCUUCUACAAGGGUUAUGGCCAAUCAACUCCUUACGAAAUAGGGUGUCUUGGUCAGUUAUUGGAAGAUAUAUAUGGAUAUAGGGAUUUCCAAGGACUUGGUUAGGGAUACACGCGAGCAUGGGUAUGCAGUCUUGGAUGCCUACCGUUACAUGAUUGAGUCCAGCAAUCCUGAAAGUAAGAAGAUAUUGCAUGUUGAUGAAAACGGAAGGUUCAAGUACUUUUUUGUAUUCUAUAAUUCUUGGAUUCAAGGUUUUUGACAUUUGAGAAAAGGCAUAGCCAUCGACGAUACCUUCUUGAGGAGCAGGUAUAAUGGAGUUCUGCUAGCGGCGGUGGUGCAGGAUACGGAGAAUCACAUCUUUCUUGUCAUUUUUUAUGUAGCGGAUAAGAAAUGUGAUGCCUAUUAUGGAUUUUUUUAUCAACUGCAAAGCUGCAUCGAAGAUACUAAAGUGUUGUGUUUUGUUUCGGAUAGGCAUCCAGGUAUUCUAAAGAUGGGUUCAAUUUUCUUCACUUCAGCUUACUUUGGUUGUUGCAUCAGGCAUCUUGGAGAGAGCAUUUGAACCAACGAUUAUAACAAAAGGGUUGUGACCCUUUUUUAUAGAGCAAAUAAAGCAUAUAGUAGAGAGGAGUUUUUAUACCAUUUCAAUCAAAUAGCGGAUGUGCAUCCCAAAGUAGCAGAACAUCUCGUACAUGUCGGUUUCAAGAGAUGGAGUCGGGCAUUCUGUCUGAGAUAGGUUCAUUCUUAUGAAUUUAAUGUCUUGAUUGAGUUACAAGUUUAAUAUGAUGUCGUACUACGUGAUUCUUUUGUAUAGGUACAAUAUUAUGACAUCAAACAUAGAUGAAUCGGUGAAUUCAUUGUUUGGCGAUGAAAGAGAAUUUUCCUUCAUGGCUCUGUUUAAAAUAAUAAAUAAGUAAUAUGGCUAAUUUUUUAAUGAAAGGCGUGUGCAGUUUGAGGGCCCAAGAAAAACCCCAUUUUUUCUAGAAGUCAAAAAAAUAAUAUCAACAAACAUCAGUUUGGGGAAUAGGUUAUUAUCUCAUCAAAUAGCAGAUUACAAAUUCAGUAUCACCGAUCAUGGUGAUGUUGCCACGACUGAUUUUCAAACAAGAUCUUGUACGUGCAGAGUUUUGACUUGGACAAAAUACCCUGUCCACAUGUUAUGGUAGUUUUUUGAGCUCAAUACGGUCCAAAAUAUGGACCUAAAAUUUAUGAGCACUCCUUUCAAUAUUAUUCGGUGGAAAAAUAUAAAAUGGCAUAUAGUGGACAUAUUACUCCAGUGCCUCCUAAAGAAUCUUGGGUUGUUCCUGCAAAGCUUUUUGGGUGAUUAAUACCUUCUCCAUAUAUUGACCCAAGCACUAUCAAAUCUGAAAUAAAGCCAUAUAAGAGGAGGUGUGGAGUUAGUGAAUCGUUUUCAUCAAGAAGAAAUAAGUGCUCUGUAUGUAAGUGCGCUGGCUACAAAAGAACUACAUGCCCGAAUCGUAAUCCACCAUGAUCGUUGUAAUUGCAAAAACUUGUGUUGUUUGUUGUGGACUUUUAUAUAUUUAACUCAUUGUUGUGUACGUAAUGUUAUCAUUUAUUAUAUAGAAAGUAUCUUUUUUAAUAACUUGUGCAUCAAUAACAAGAGGCAAAACAUGAAAUAAUUAAUACAGCAGGCCACAAUUAUUUUCAACAGAUUACCCAUCUGUGGUAGUAGAUAAACAUUAGCUGAAAAAACACAACAUAGUUCCAUCAAACUUGAAUAUUUUCCUCCAACAGAUGGAUAAUCUACUGACAAAAACCCAACUGAUCUGUUCCAAUAGAUGGUCCAUCUGUUGAAAGAACUCAAAUGCCAAAACUGUUAUUGCUACUAAAUUCAAAAUUGCUACUUACCUCCAACAUUUGACAUGUUAACAUGUUUAGAAGAAGGAAUAGACAGAAUAAAAAUUAACUAAGAACUAAAAAUAUAAAGUCGACCAAUAAUAAAUUUUCCAUUAAAUAAAAAAUAAAACACAUUAGGUAUGAAAAAAGCGGCAAAACAUGAAUUAAAUAAUACAGCAUACCACAAUUAUUUUCAGCACAUUACCCAUCUGUGGCAACAGAUUGACAUUAAAUGGAAGAACACAUAAUUCCAUCAAACUAAAACAUUUUCCUCCAACAGAUGGAUAAUCUGUUGACAGAAACCCAAUCGAUCUAUUCCAACAGAUGGUCCAUCUGUUGAAAGAACUUAAAUGUCAAAAUUGUUAUUGCUACUAGAUUCAAAAUUACUCCUUAAGGCUCCAACAGUCGACAUGUUAACAUGUUUGGAAGAAGAAAAAGACAGAAUAAAAAUUAAAUAAGAAUUAAAAAGCCAAACUCGUCUAACAAUAAAUUUUCCAUUAAACAAAAACCAAAAUUUAUUAGGUAUAGAUCCGAUAUAAGAUUAAAAAAAAACACAUUCUAUCUAUUAUUAUUAUCAGCAACAACAUUAUUAUUGCCAGCAGGCCAAUCUUCAACCGGCAGAAGCAAAUCCCUCCUAAGCUUACAAAUCUCCACGAUCAUCCGAGCUCUCAUGGUGGACAAAUCCCACCGCAUUUCAUGAACCUGCGACUCAAGUUCUGGGAUAGUGUCUUGUAGAAUUGUAACAUCUCAAUUUGUAUCUGCCAUAUCUAGAACACACAUGAAUUGACAUAAAAAAGCAAACACAAAAGUAAAGAAAAGAGUCUGAAUAUAAUACAAUGUAUACAACAAACUGGUAGAUUUACACAGAAAAAAACUUACCUCAACGAGAAAGGAAUAUGCUCUUUGAAGAGAAGUGGCUGAAGAUGUAAACCGAAAAGACAAAAUGCAAAAAACAAAUAAAAGUAGAGGGACCUAUUUAUAGAGGAUUUAAUCUGAAUGUGUUAGGUAAAAAGAAAUAACUGUUCAGGUCCAUUGUAUUAGUUAGAUUCAUACUGCUUCCUUUUUGUUUUCUAUGAAAAGAUGCGACUUUUUCUUUUACGUACAAACUUCUCACCUUUUCAAAAUGGUUUGAGACUUAAUAACAACUGUUAUUAAUUGAGCUGUUACAAUAGAUCAAUUAGGAAAAAAGGCGUAACUAUUCAGGUCCAUUGUAUUAAUUACAUUCAAACUGCUGGUUUUGUGUUUUCUGUGGAAAGACGUUACUUUUUAUUUUACAUUAAAACUUCUCACCUUUUCAAAAUGGUUUGAUACUUGAUAAUAUCCAUUAUUAUUGAACUGUUGCAAUAGAUCUACAUGAUCUCAUGAACUCAGUCAGUUGUCAGAUAUCAGUAGUAUUUCAUCAUUAAUGAAAUUCAUUAACUCAGCCCUUGUUCAGUUCAGUAAAUCAUGUUCAAAGUCUAUUCAUAUGGGAGUAAGAAUUAGCACCAAGUGAACCCAUGAAUGGGAACACACACUAUCAUAUGAGGGUAUGAUUCUUAUAAGUCAUCCUUGUAUUCCAGAACUAUGUAGCCAGCAUAGGUUAAGAUAUCAAUAUUGUUCGAUGAGGGUUUAUGAGGUGGAUAAGAAUUGUAAGAUACGGGCCCUACCAUUCUCUUUUGGGGACACUAAGUCAGAUGAGGGUCACCCACGGCUUGUCCUUAUCAGUGGUGCAGUAUUGACACCCUUUAAAUUGGGGUUACAGAUUAGACCCCAACUCAGCUAUAAUGGCAUAUUAGGGGCAUGUCGAUUAGAUAACUACUUUCCACAGUUUUAUGUUACAAAAUUAGGACUGUCAGACACAGUCAAUCAGUCUUAGUAAUAAAACUCAGAUAGUUUUUCAGAUUUCAGGAUUGUCAGGUACAAUCAACUUAGAUACAAUACGGGACUCAGCUAGUUCCAUUAGAUUCAGGACUGUCAGAUACAGACUCUCAUGUUAUCAGUUAUAUCAGUUAUCAGUAUGUCAUUUAUCAGUAUUCAGAUCCAGUAAUCAUGUUAUCACGGUAUCAGUGUCAGUUAUUAUGUCUCAUGCAUGUAUCUCACGCUCAUGAUAGUCAGUCUGCUAUUGUUAUUAUUCAUGCAUAUGAACCCCAUGCAUCCAGCCUACCUCACAUGCAUACCAGUAUAUUAAAAGCAUUGGCGCAGUUGCGCUAUGGUGUCUUAUACCAUAGGUUCAGAGACACGAGCUCCAGAGCAUCAGUAGAUUCUAGUCUCAGCUGUCAGAGUUAGCAGUGAGUCCUCAUCUUUCGAGGACAUGAUCAUUAUUUUAUUAUCUCAGUAAUUAGUUUACUAGUUGGAGUUAGUUGGGGAUAUGUAUCAUCAACUAGUUAUUCAGACAAUCAUAUUUUAAAGGCUUAACAAACUACAGUAUGUUCAGAUAAUCUAUUUCAGUUUUGUUUUGGGUAUUUCAUACCCCUCCCAGAUGUUACAUUUUUAUAAGAUACUAUGUCACAGUUUUGAACCUUAUGGCCUUUUAGUUCAUGUUUCCGCAUUAUAAAGUAUUUUAUGCAGUAUACAGGUACAAAUAUCAGUCAUGGGUUAGCUUGUGGUCCUUCGGGGUCAUGAGCAUCGUGUAGCGUUCUGGGUAUCAGAUUUAGGGCGUUACACACAUAAAUACCAUAAUACAAAUAAGGAGAGAGAUAAAAUAGUCACAUCACACAAAAUCACAAAUUUUACAUGUUUCAUGAAAUUUUCAGAUCGUUACACUAACAAAAGGAUAAGAAUAAAUUUCACCUUUCAAGCAAUUAAUGAUUCAUGUAUAUAAUUUUUCUCUACCACUUUUUCUCCUCCUUUGUUUUCUUUUUGAAAUUAUUAUGAAAUUGAACUCAUAUUUUUGAUAAUUAAUUAAUUCUUAUUUUUAUAUUCAUAAUUUACUAAAAAUGAUUGAGAUAUGUGAAAAUUGUGGAACUACACUGAAUACGUUGUAGACGAAAAUUAAAAAGAUUGAAAAAUUGAAUAACUGAAAUCGAAGAUAGGUAAAAUUUAUCGAUGAUCACCUAAUACUGAGUCAAUCACACAAAAUAUUGGUUUCAGUUCUUUUACCAUAAAAUUCAUUUAGAUUUAAAAUUAAUAUACAAAAGUUAUUUUUCUAUUUUAUGACAUAAAAGUAUCCAAUUUUUAAAAUUUAGCACACAAAAUUAUUUUGUUUAUUUUUUCAAAAGGUAUUUACAAAAUUUACUAUACAAAUAUAUAUUAGUGCAGAAAAUAGUCAAAGCACAUUUUCUUCAGUAUUAAUAAUAUGAAAUUAAAACUAUUAUAUAAAGAAAUCAAGCUAAGGAACGCAAGUAUACUAUUGUACACUUCCAACAAGUUAUGUGUUAAGAAGUAAAACAUUAGAGAUGUUUCUAAUAUCAUUCUAAAUGUUAUAAAUUUAUUUGAACCUCUGUCAUAUUUUCAAUAUGACAUCGAAAUUUUGAUGAAAUUUUCUUUUUAGUUUCCUAGAUCGAAGUUGAAUGACUUUUAACCAACAAAAAAUUAAGAUACAAAUUACUUUUAUGUUACAAAAUUUUUUAUUUGGAUGACUUAAUAUAUAUAUAUAUAUAUAAAAUUAGUUAGUCUUACAAUUUGAUAAAAACAAAAGAAAAAGAAUGAGCUAGAAAAUCAAGGGAAACAAAAAUAGUGAAUUGAGGAGAAAGAGGGGGCUUUGGGCUAAAAGUGACAAAAGAGUUUGAAAAUGAGGUGUAGGUGACACAAGUCUUAAUAAUUGAGUGUAUGUGACAAUUACUUUAUUAUGGAUUAAGAAAGUUGGGUAAGUUUGAGAAUAUCCCACAAGUUUUUUUAAAUUUACACUAUAAUCCAAAUAUUUACCUAAUAUAAUGAAAAAUGGAGGAAAAAAGGGUGUUUCUCUCUCUUCUCAUCUAUUGUUGUUUUUUUCUCUUAGUGAUUUUUGUUGUUUAUUGUUGCUUCUUCUUUAUUCGUAAUCUUCUGCUUCUUCAUUUUCAUCAUCUUCAUUUUCUUCUUGUUGACCAUUAUUGUUGUUGUUGUUACCGCUACUGUUGCUAUUUGACCAAUUUUUUAGGUCAAAUUUUAUUUUGUACAUCACUUUCCACUUUGGCAUUAUUUCAUAGGAGACUUUGGUAAGUCAAAUUAUGAUUUUUAGUUGAAUUUGUCAUCUGGGUAACUGCUACUGUGCUACUUUUACAACAAUAGAUAGCACGCGAACAUGAAUGCAACAUAAGAGCCAUCUGUUUAAACAUAUAUGUUUCAACGAAAGACUCAUAUAUUGGAUUCAUGUUUAUGGUUCUAUAGUGACGUAACAUGAAUCGAACAGAUGGUUCAUCUGUUGCAACAUAUGACCCAUCUGUUGUAAAAGAUUAGUUAUCUGGUGCAAUAUGAUAAAUAUCUGUUACAACAAAUUAGUAACCUGUUGAAAUAGAACCUGAACUCAAUUUCAACAAACGUAUCGUCUGUUGCAAUAGGGUAAAUAUCUAUUGCAACAGAUUAGUAACCUGUUGCAACAGGUCCUGAACUCGAUUCGAAUAGAUGGUAAAUAUUUGUUGCAAUAUAUUAGUAACCUGUUGCGAUAAAACCUGACCUUCAUUCUAACAGACAAAUCAUCUGUUGCAACAGGUAAGUCAUUUAUCGCAAUAGGUUAAUUAUCUAUUGUAUCAUGUCACUCAUCUAUUGAAAUUAGCUUCAAAGGUGCCUUAGUACUGAACAUCUAUCCCAACAGGAGCUUCAUCUGUUGCAAUAGAUAUAUAGUCUAUUACAACAUAUGAUUCACCUGUUACAACAGAUGACUCGUAUGUUCAAAUCUGCUUCAGGAGCAUAACAUGCAUCCUAAUGGGUAAGUAAUCUUUUGCGACUGAUCACUUACAUGUUGCAACAGAUUACACAUAUAUUGGGAUUCAUAUACGACACUAUGAAAUCACCAUUAACCUUUUUUAACAAAUGACUUUAUUUAGGUACCACUAAUGAAGGGAUCAAUAAAAAUAGGGGUGUAUUGUCACAAUCAAUGGAUUGAGAAGAGCAAUCGAUAUGUAUGGCAUUGGAAGAAGGGUAAAAUGCUAGAGACGAUAGCUAUGACAGUCCAAUGUGAUGUUUUGUAUGAUGAUUUUGUGUACUUAAUCAUAAGUUAUUGUGGACUGAAUUGUCAAUCAGAAGAACUCGUCAUCAGCUACAUGCAUAACUCUUUUGAAAAUCAGAGAGUACAACCUUUCAAUAUAACCGACCAGGUUCGAUUGCGUGCUUAUUUUAGUGAUUCAUCCAGGCUGGUAUUAAGGGUGUACGUGGUUGAAAAGACGAGAAAGAAUGAGAACUAGGACAUAGAAGAAGAAUAACAAUAAGACAUCUUUGAUGAUAGGUUGGAUGAUCUAGACAUGAAUAUUCCAGAUGAUGAUCAAAUACCUAUGCCCGUUGAUGCGACCAAUACGGUAGGCAGUUCUUCUCGAUCGAUACAAUCUGGCAAUCUUCAAGACGACAGAACCGUCUUUUUCAAUGGAAUGUCAUUCAAGGACAAGAAAGAACUAUCUACCACUUUGUUUAUUUCUUGCUUGAAAAAAGAUUUCAGAAUAAAGAAGGUGAUUAAUUCAAGCAGUGUAUUUAGCUAUAAAUGUGCUAAUCCGAACUGCAAAUGGUGGUUGAGAGCGGUGAAGUACAUAAGUUUUGACAGAUUCGUCAUUCAUAAAAAUGAAAAGUAUCAUACAUAUGGUUCAGAUCACAUCUCAGGCCAAAAUCCUCAUGCCAUAGCAAAGGUCCUCGGUGAAUAUUUUAUGAGUAGUUUCCCCGACAGCAAAGGCCCUUCUACAAGGGUUAUAGCCAAUCAUAUCCUUAUGGAAUAGGGUGUCUUGGUCAGUUAUUGGAAGAUAUAUAUGGCUAUGGGGAUUGUCAAGGACUUGGUUAGGGAUACACACGAGCAUAGGUAUGCAGUCUUAGAUUCCUACCGUUACAUGAUUGAGUCCACAAAUCCCAAAAGUAAGACGACAUUGCAUGUUGAUGAAAACGGAAGGUUCAAGUACUUUUUUGUAUCCUAUGGUUCUUGGAUGACAGUUGAGAAAAGGCAUAGCCAUCGACGAUACCUUCUUGAGGAGCAGGUAUAAUGGAGUUCUGCUAGCAGCGGUGGUGCAGGAUACGGAGAAUCACAUCUUUCUUGUCAUUUUUUAUGUAGCGGAUAAGAAAUGUGAUGCCUCUUAUGGAUUUUUUUAUCAACUGCAAAGCUGCAUCGAAGAUAACGAUGUGUUGUGUUUUGUUUCGGAUAGGCAUCCAAGUAUUCUAAAGAUGGGUUCAAUUUUCUUCACUUCAGCUUACUUUAGUUGUUGCAUCAGGCAUCUUGGAGAGAACAUUCGAACCAACUAUCAUAACAAAAGGGUUGUGACCCUUUUUUAUAGAGCAACUAAAGCAUAUAGUAGAGAGGAGUUUUUAUACCAUUUCAAUCAAAUAGCGGAUGUGCAUCCCAAAGUAGCAGAACAUCUCGUACAUGUCGGUUUCAAGAGAUAGAGUCGGGCAUUCUGUCUAGUAGAUAGGUUCAUUCUUAUGAAUGUAAUGUCUUGAUUGAGUUACAAGUUUAAUAUGAUUUCGUACUACAUGAUUCUUUUGUAUAGGUACAAUAUUAUGACAUCAAACAUAGAUGAAUCGGUGAAUUCAUUGUUUGGCGAUGAAAGAGAAUUUUACUUCAUAGCUCUGUUUAAAAUAAUAAAUAAGUAAUAUGGCUAAUUUUUUAAUGAAAGGCGUGUGCAGUUUGAUGGCCCAAGAAAAACCCCAUUUUUUCUAGAAAUCAAAAAAAUAAUAUCAACGAACAUCAGUUUGGGGAAUAGGUUAUUAUCUCAUCAAAUAGCAAAUUACAAAUUCAGUAUCACCGAUUAUGGUGAUGUUACCACGGCUAUUUUUCAAACAAGAUCUUGUACGUGCAGAGUUUUUGACUUAGACAAAAUACCCUGUCCACAUGUUAUGGUAGUUCUUUGAGCUCAAUACGGUCCAAAAUAUGGACCUAAAAUUUAUGAGCACUCCUCUCAAUAUUAUUCGGUGAAAAAAUAUAAAAUGGCAUAUAGUGGACAUAUUACUCCGGUGCCUCCCAAAGAAUCUUGGGUUGUUCCUGCAGAGCUUUUUGGGAGAUUAAUACCUUCUCCAUAUAUUGACCCAAGAACUAUAAAAUCCAAAAUAAAGCCAUAUAAGAGGAGGUAUGGAGUUAGUGAGCCGUUUUCAUCAAGAAGAAAUAAGUGCUCUGUAUAUAAGUGUGCUGGCUACAAAAGAACUACAUGCCCGAAUCGUAAUCCACCAUGAUCAUUGUAAUUGCAAAAGCUUGUGUUGUUUGUUGUGGACUUUUAUAUAUUUAACUCAUUGUUGUGUACGUAAUGUUAUCAUUUAUUAUAUAGAAAGUAUCUUUUUUAAUAACUUGUGCACCAAUAACAAGAGGCAAAACAUGAACCAAAUAAUAUAGAAGGCCACAAUUAUUUUCAACAGAUUACCCAUUUAUGGUAACAGAUAGACAUUAGCUGGAAAACCACAACACAGUUCCAUCAAACUAGAAUGUUUUCCUCCAACAAAUGGAUAAUCUACUGAUAAAAACUCAACUGAUCUGUUCUAAUAGAUAGUCCAUCUGUAGAAAGAACUCAAAUACCAAAACUAUUAUUGCUACUGAAUUCAAAAUUGCUACUUACCUCCAACAUUCGAUAUGUUAACAUGUUUAGAAGAAGGAAUAGACAGAAUGAAAAUUAAAUAAGAACUAAAAAUAUAAAGUCGACCAAUAAUAAAUUUUCCAUUAAAUAAAAAAUAAAACACAUUAGGUAUGGAAAAAGAGGCAAAACAUGAAUUAAAUAAUACAGUAUACAAUAAUUAUUUUCAGUAGAUUACCCAUCUGUGGCAACAGAUUGACAUUAAAUGGAUUAACACAACACAAUUCCAUCAUACUUGAAUAUUUUUCUCCAACAGAUGGAUAAUCUGCUGACAGAAACCCAAUCGAUCUAUUCCAACAGAUGGUCUAUAUGUUGAAAAAACUUAAAUGUCAAAAUUUUUAUUGCUACUAGAUUCAAAAUUACUCGUUAAGACUCCAACAGUCGACAUGUUAACAUGUUUAGAAGAAGAAAAAGACAGAAUAAAAAUUAAAUAAGAAUUAAAAAGCCAAACUCAUCUAAUAAUAAAUUUUCCAUUAAACAAAAACAGAAAUUUAUUAGGUAUAGAUCCGAUAUAGAAUUAAAAAAAACAUAUUCUAACUAUUAUUAUUAUCUGCAACAACAUUAUUAUUGCCAGCAGACCAAUCUUCAACCGGCAGAAGCAAAUCCCUCCUAAGCUUGCAAAUCUCCACAAUCAUCCGAGCUCUCAUGGCAGAUAACUCCCACCGCAUGUCAUGAACCUACGACUCAAGUUCUGGGAUAGUGUCUUGUAGAAUUGCAACGUCUCAAUUUGUAUCUGCCAUAUCUAGAACACACAUGAAUUGACAUAAAAAAGUAAACACAAAAGUAAAGAAAAGAGUCUGAAUAUAAUACAAUGUAUACAAUAAACUGGUAGAUUUACACAGAAAAAAACUUACCUCAACGAGAAAGGAAUAUGCUCUUUGAAGAGAAGUGGCCGAAGAUGUAAUCCGAAAAGACAAAAUGCAAGAAACAAAUAAAAGUAGAGGGACCUAUUCAUAGAGGAUUGAAUAUGAAUGUGUUAGGUAAAAAGGCAUGACUGUUCAGGUCCAUUGUAUUUGUUAGAUUCAUACUGCUGCCUUUUUAUUUUCUAUGAAAAGAUGUGACUUUUUCUUUUACAUACAAACUUCUCACCUUUUCAAAAUGGUUUGAGACUUAAUAACAACUGUUAUUAAUUGAGCUAUUGCAAUAGAUCAAUUAGGCAAAAAGGCAUGACUAUUUAGGUCCAUUGUAUUAAUUAUAUUCAAACUGCUGGCUUUUUGUUUUCUGUGGAAAGACGUGACUUUUUAUUUUACAUUAAAACUUCUCACCUUUUCAAAAUGGUUUGAGACUUGAUAACAUCCAUUAUUAUUGAGCUAUUGCAAUAGAUCAUCCAUCUGUUGCAAUAGAUUUACUAUCUGUUGUAAUAAAUGGUCUGUAUGUACAACAGAUGGUCUGUCAAAAUUGAUUUACCAUCUAUUGCAACAGAUGAUUUAUAUGUGCAAUAGAUGAGACAUCUAUUGCAACAUAUGUAUUAUCUGUUAUAACAGAUGGACCAUCUGUUGGAGGAGAUAUUUUGAUUUCUUCUAAUAGUUGAUUCAUCAGGUGCAACAGAUGGAGAAUUUGAUUCAUCAGUUGUUUUGAAUAUGUUAUAUAAAAAGUCAUGACUCAUUACCUCUUUUUUAAUAGUCAUCACAUACGUGCAGAUGAAUAACCACUGUCCGUUCUAUCACAACAGAUUUACCAUCUAUUGUAACAUCUGUAUUAUCUAUUGCGACAGAUGGACUAUCUGUUGGAGAAGAUAUUUUAUUUUCUUCUAACACCUAAUUCGUUAGUUGAAAUAGAUGGAGAAAUAAAUUUAUCAGAUGACUUUUCGCCUCUUUUUAAUAGUCAUCACAAACAUGCAGAUGAAUAAACAUUGUCUGGUUUAUCAUAAUAUAUUUACCAUCUGGUACGACAGAUGGACCAUCUGUUAGAAGAGAUGUUUUGAUUUCUUCUAACAACUGAUUCAUCAGUUGCAAUAGAUGGAGAAUUUGACUCAUCAGUUGUUUUGAAUGUGUUAGAUAAAAAUUCACGACUCCACCUCUUUUUUAAUAGUCAUCACAUGCGUGCAGAUGAAUAAACACUAUCUGAUAUGUCUUGAUGGGGUAGGAAGAAUAAAAUGCGUGUAGAUAAAUGGAUCCACUUUCAUGCAUGCGAGUUAUGUAUUAUUGAUCAAGAUACCAUGACAGACAUAUAUAAAGUACAUGAUUUUUUAAUGCAAUGUUUUACCGAUUAGACAUUUAUCCUUCAAACAAGAUCCUGCAUUGUACAAUUUAGUUUGAUAGGUAUGAACUGAUAAGGAUGAAUGGUUCCGAGAUGGUGGUGUCAAUACCCUAUUAUAAUUUAAUGAUAGUUUAUGCUCAUGUUUUGGUGUCAAGUUUGGGGAAGCAUUUAAGUUUUUGGCGACAGUGUAAAUAUCCAAUAGUGAUUGGAUUGAUUUUAACGGUGCAAUGAACUUCUUAAAAUGACUCCAAAGCCUCGCACUGCAGCAAACAAUGAUGAAACCAAUAGAAAUUACCUUGGUCUAAAUUUAUAUGAAUGUGUUGCUCGAGGCUACUAUUAUAUAGCAGAAGGUGCUUGGGAGAAUAUCUAUGUGGAAAGAGGGAGAUGGAGAAGACCAUAUAUCAUCUCAGACCCUAUUUAAGAGAAAACAUAAGGAAGCAAGUAAGGAACAUCUAGUGAAUCUGGACAAUGAACUUGACAUGAGAAAUGAAAAAACUGAAUGAGCUUCAAAUGUGGAAGUGUAUCCUAAUAUAAAAAUCCAUCAGUUAUUGAAGAACAAGAAGAAUGGUCAAAAGGACUGGAGCUGGUCACUUUGCUAGAGACUGCAACUAGUGAGAGUGGCCUCAAUGAAGACUCACAAAGUGCAAGACUAGAAUUCUAAGGAAGCAGUUUUGCGAGCAUAGGAUAUUGGUAAGAUUUUUAGUCAAGAAUGAAACCUGAACCAACAACUGUAGAAUUAAAAAUAAGGAAAGCCAAGGCGUCAAAUUCUGAAUUCUAACUCGAAUCCUAUGCCUUCUGUUUCUGGCUAUGAUAAGGUCAAUGGUAGUAGAAAUAAAAAGGUUUGAAGUUGGGCAGAAAUUCCAUACCUUGUUAUUUCCACUGCCUUUGACCUAACCAUAGCCAUAAAAAAGAGGCAUGGGAUGCAAGUUUAACUUGAGAAAUUGCCACCUUGGCUUGAUCCCUUAUUUUUAAUUUAGGAGUAGUUGGUUCAAGUUUUAAUCCUGACCGAUAAUAUUACCACCUUUCGUGCUUGCGAAGCUGAAACUUUAGAGGUCUGGUCCUGCAUUUUAUGGGUCUUCAUUCAGGCCACGCUAUCUAGUUUCAGUUCUUGAAUAAAGUGGACAUCUCUAGUCCACUUGAGCAUUUUUCUUUUUCAAGAACGAUUGAUGGAUUUUAAUUUUUGGAUAAACUUUCACAUUCGCAACUCGUUCAAUUUUUUUAUUUUUCAUGUCAGUUUCACCAGCCUGUUUCGCUACAUUUUUCUUCUUACCUUGUGUUUCUUCUUUAAUAAGGUCUGAACUGAUAUAUGGUCUUCUCCACCUCUCUUUUCCCACACAGGCAUUCUUACAAUAAACUUCUAUUAUAUAAUAGUCUCCUCGAGCAACCCAUCCAUAUAAAUUUGGACCAAAGCAAUAAUUAUAUUUAUUUUCAUUCUUAUUUGCAGUAGUGCGAGGCUUUGGAGGCCUUUUAAAAGUCCAUUGAACCCUUAAAGUCAGUGCAGUCACUAUUUGAAUGUUUACACUAUCAUAAAAAACCUUAACCCUUCUCCAAACUUGACACAUAAAUUAGCAAAAUCUUCAUUAAAUCAUAAUAGGGUACCAACACCAUCUACUUGGUCCCUCAUUCUUACCAGUUAGAACCUAACAAUCUUAACUGUAAAAUGACAUAUCUUGUUUGAAGUAUUAAUGCCUAAUAGGUAAAGAACCAACAUUCACAAAAUUAUUAUACUGGAUGUGUGUUUUCACGAUAGGUUGAUCAAUAAUACAUACCUCCCACGUAUAAAGUGGUUCCAUCUGCAAGCAGUUUAUUCCUCUGAACCCAUCUAUACUCUAGCCUUUAAUGCUGGUUAGAUAAAAGUUUAUCUAGUUACACUUUAUUUUAUCUGCAAACAAGAGAAAUGCAUUUGAUGACAAAUAAAAGAAGAACAAAAAGAGGAUUACAAAAGGGUAACACAAAAUUGAAUGGAUCAAAAGAUGACCAAUCUGAUGGAACAGAUUCCCCAUAUGUUCAAUCGAUUAGGUAUUUGUUGCAAAAAAUGGAUGACAUAUUGCAACAAAUGGGUCAUCUGUUGGAAUAAAUCAACCAAGCCUUGCUACUAGUUUGAUUUCUUCAAACAGUUGCUCCGUCUGUUCUAAUCGUUGAUUCAUCAGUUGCAACAGUUGAGGAAAUUAUUACAACACCACCAACAACAGC